AGCUGGAAGGUAGUACUAUCUUUGUAGCAAAAAGCAAGACUACCGGAGUUGGUGUCAUCAACCCAACCAUUUUUCUGAGUUUAUAAAUUUGUUAAUUUUUAUCAUCUUUUUAGGGUUUAAUUAGGCAUAUGAGGUCAAACAAUGUAGCAAAAGAGCAAAGGGGCUAAAUUAAAAGAGAUUGAAUAAAAGAUGGCUUUGAUUUCUGGAUUUUUCACAUGUUUAGUUGGGGAGAAAAAACUAAAUAUAAAUUAUAAAAGUGUUAAAAUAUAAAUAUAAAUAUAUCUCAAAUAUUUUUAAAUGUAUUUUAUAACUUUUAAAAUUAGAACUAAAAUGACAGAUUUUGUAAACAUUAAGGGCUAAAUUUGUUAAAUCUUUUAAAUUUAGAAUUAAACUGGUAGAAUCUGUAAACAUUUAAGGCUAAAUUUGUUAUUAAGCCAAUAAAAGAAAAGCUCACAUUAAACUUUUGUUACUAAAUUAAUGGCAAGAAAAACUAAAAUAUUUAAUUUUGUAAAGUUAAUGUGACUAAAUAAAAAAAAAUUUAUACGAUCAAAAUAGAACGAACAAAAUAAUUAGAUGACUAUUCUUAUACCCUACUUACAAUUAUAAGUUGAUUUUUUUUUAUCUCCAUCCCACUAUUUAUAAUAAUGGUCAAAUUUAUUUCGUUAUCAGUCGAUAUAUUUAAUCCUUAAUAAAAAAAUACACAAUAAAAUUUUAACUUAAUAUCAAAAUAUGAUUUAUCGAUCAGUACGAUGGAUGCCGAUAUAGAUUUAAACGCUAUGAUCAGUUUUGGUGGUUUUGAUUUUGGCACUUUGUGACACCAAAAUUACAAAAAUUAGUUAUGUUUAGGUAACGAAAUUUGGAAUUAUCUUAGCAACUUUAUUUAUUAAUUAAAUCUUUUAUAUUUUAACAAUAUGUCUGUGUACUUGUUAUGAAACAUUGUUCCACAGUUUCGUGUCGUGUUCAUCCCAAUUAAUAUAAUAAUUAAUGCAUUUUUCGCAAGGGAAAUAAUCAAAUAAAAAAAUAUUUUUUUUAAAAAUUUGCAUGGUAGACUGACCUUAUUACAAGCAUUUAAUAUUAUGUUUUGUCUGUUUUUCUUAAUUAUUAUUUUAAAUUAUUUAUUUUUUUAAAUAGAAGACCAAGAUAAUGUAAUGACGGUUAAGCCAUGUUUACACUUAAAGCGGUGAAUACUUGAAUCAUGGAAUCUUUUAAUUUAUUUUUAAAUUCAAUUUUUUUUAAUGGAAGACUAAGGAUAAUGUAAUGACGGUUUAGUCCUGUUAUUAUAUUUAUUUAAGAUUCUUUCUUACUACUACAAUUUUAUAUUAUAUUCUGACAGUUGCUGAUCAUUUAAAUUAUUAUAAUUGCACAAAUAUGUGAUUGGGUUGAUUUAAAUCGAAAUAAAAUAUUUAUUGUGAAAUAUUAAUUUUAAAAUCUAAAUUUUUUAAAUAUUAUUAAAUUAAAACCUCACCAAUUUAUUUUUAACUUUUAGAUUAAAUUGAAUAUAUUUAAUCCUUAGAUUUUUUUUUCUGUGUAAUUACAAGGAAAGGAUGAAAAAAAAUUAGGGAUUUAAUUCCUUUUUUAAUAAAAAAAAUUCGAAACAUAUUUACUAUGGAAAUGGAAAAUAAGAGAUGACGAAAUUUAAAAGUAUUAUAAAAAUAUAUUUUUUUUAAAUACUGAUUUUAAUUUGAAUAUUGAAAUAAAAAUGGAUUAAUUAUUACUUAAUAAACAAAUUUCUUUUCAAAAGAAAAUAGUGCAAAAGGUAGGGGCAUUUGUCUCACGUGGCGGCAGCCCAUCGAUAUGAAGUGCCAACCAUUUUACUAGAAACCAGCCGCGUGGUUAUGUGACGCGUAGCAGUGGACUUCCCUUUUCGCCCUUGUGCUCCGCUGACAUGGCGGUCACCUAACCCCACAUGACUGCCUCAUUUCUUGCCAUGCCUACGUGUUGUGACACCCACCUUGUCCCCUCCCACCACUACACUUUACUGGACAAUUAAUUAAAAUAAUCUUAACAUUAAUUUCUUCAAAAACAAACAAACAAACAAACAUCCAAUUUUUCUACAGUCUUAACUGUCAAUCUACUUCCUUUACUACGUUGAAAUUCAAGUUUUAGUCCCUCUUCUUUAUUUUGGUAUAAUACAAUAAAUAAAUCUUUUUUCUUUUAUAAUAUUACAAAUAGGUCCAAUUUAGUAAUACCAUAACUUGUCCUUAAGUUAUCAUCUCAUUAAAUAUUCGGUUACAUGUAAUUUAUUAGGCUAAACUAUUAAAAUAGUCACUUUUGUUUACCUCAGGUUAUAUUUUAGUCACUUAUGUUUGAAAUGUUACGUUUUAGUCACUGAGCCGUUAAUUGCUAAUAACGGUGUAAUGGUAAGCUAACAUGGCACAUUAAAUCAUCAUUUCAAAUGAAAAUUUUAGGUUAAAUUCUACAAUUGGGCCCCAUAUUUUUUUAUUUUGAGCAAUUUAAAUUUUUUAUUUUAUGUUUUUUUAACAUUUUUCCAUUCUCUUCUACUUCUCCCUCUGUUUUACUCUCUUCUUCAUUUAUUUUAGCGUAGUUUUUCUAUGUUUUUCAUUUGUUAAAACUAGUCCACAAACUUGCCUCACUCGAAAAAAUUAAAUUGUUCAAAAAAAAAGUAUACAAACUAGUUUUAACAAAUGAAAAAUAUAGAAAAACUAGGUUAAAAGAAAUAGAGAAAGGAGGAAAACCAAGGGAGAAGUAGAAGAGAAUGGAAAAUAAAGAAAAAAAAAAGGAAAGUUGAAAAAACAUAAAAGAAAAAAAUUGCUCAAAACAAAAAAGUAAGAGGAUCGAUUGUAUAAAUUAACCUAAAAUUUUUGUUUGAAAUGAUGAUUUAACGUGCCACGUCAGCUUGCCGUUGCACCGUUAAUGACAAUUAACGGAUAAAUAACUAAAAUGUUACAAUGAGAUAACAUAAGUGACUAAAAAUGUAACCUAAGCUAAACAAAAGCGGCUAUUUUAAUAGUUUACCAAAUUUAUUAUUUCUUGAAUAUAAAUAAUUGAAUUUUUACGUGAUAUUAUAUGAAUAAAUAAUAGUAAAAAAAUCUACAUUAUCAUUUUAACCAUAAUAAAUUUCUAAAUUACAUCUAAAUAUGUUCUUUUUUAAGUUAAUAAACUUUCAUUUAAAUAAUAACUUAUAAAAUGAAAAUGAUGAAAACUUAUUUAAAUAAAAUAAAAGGUUUAACUCAUAAAUUGGUAUUUAAAUUAUACUCUCUCUUCUUCUUUUUUUAAUACCUAAACUUAUUUUUGGUUAUAAGUGAUAUUUAAAUUACUUUUUUUUUCUUAAGUUGGUAUCUUCAUUAGUCAAACCGUUAAGUCUAUUUUAAAAAGAGACUUAACCACAAAAUAGUACCUAAAAUUUGGGAGGUUUCAUUUUGGUACCUAAACUAUUUUAUUUUUCGAGUUAAUACUUAUGUUAGUUCAAUUGUUAGUUAAACUGUUAAAUAUAUUUAAAAAGAAAAGGUAACCAAAUAAAAAUUGACACAUGACAAAAAAGACAAUCUUUUAUAUAUUUUUUCUUUUUCCUUUUUAUUUUCUUCUUUGGAACUAGACAGAUGGUAGAUAAAAAAAAGUAUUAAAAAAUUCAUAAAAAUUAAAAAUAAAAAAUAGAGAAAAAUUGAUUCAACUGGUUUUUUUAGCUUGAUUUAAUUGAUCUGUAUCUGUUUGUGAGUGUCAGUUUGGUUCAUAAACCAUUGGUUUUGAUCAAUGAAAAUACUUUUUUGACCUCGUCGUGUCGAGCAAGUAGAUGGUAAAGUUUGAAAAUAGAAUUAAUUGCCAUCAUCUCAACCUCAGGGGGAAUAUGUGGUGAUUUAUUAUUGGUUGAAAAUUUUUCAACGAAUAUAACAAUUUGGUGUAAAACGAUGAACAAAUGAAUCGUUUAGGUAUUGCUUGUGACAAAAAAAAGUUUAGGUACCAACUUGAAAAACAAAAUGUACACUUUUGGCAAUAAUUUGUAGGUUAAGCCUUUUUUAAUAUAUAUUUAAUUUUGACUAACGAUUAGACUAAUAAAUGUACCAACUUAGGAAAAAAAGUAGUAUAGGUACCACUUGUGACAAAAAAAAAGUUCAGGUAUCAAGAUAAAAAAAAUAAUUUAGGUGUCAAUUUGUGGAUUAAGCCUAAAAUAAAAAUAUAAAGAUUAUCUGGUUGUUACCUGUAAAUUGUUUUUUUCCCUAAUAUUUAAGUUUAUUGUUUUGAUUUUGUGUUUUUCAGGGUUAAUGUAUUAUUUGAUACUUAACUCAUUUGUUUAGUUUGGUACUUGAGUUUUCUUUUUUCAAUUUGAUAGUCAAAUUUAGCUUUAAUGUUCAAUUUAAUCCAUGAGUUUUUUCAGUUUGAUACUUAAGUUUUUUUUUUCCAAUCAAGUAUCUUAGUUUUUUUUUUUUUUAUCUUAGUUUAACUUUAAUAUUCAUUGGUCCAUAUGGUCCCAUUUGAUUUGAGUACUAAGUUGAACAUUGAAGUAAACUAAAAUACCAAUUUAAGACAAAAAAAUUCAAGUACCAAAUUAUACACUAAAGACAAACAAAUGUACCAAAAUAUAUAUUAAUAUUAUUUGUUUAAACAAUUCUUAAACUACCUACAAACCCUUCAAAUCCUUAAAUCGAAAGUUAAGAUGUGUUUAAGUGUGUCCAGAAAUACAUCCUCCAAAUUAUUGCAAUCAAUGUUUAAAAAAUGACAGUCAACUUAGUUAAAUUAUUGUUUCUCGUGUCAUCAAUUUGAACGUCAGCCUAAUAAUAAUGAAAUAAAUAAUUAAAAACAUAAGAUAAUAUAUAAUCAAUUUACCUAUCAAAUUUUUUUUAUCGAUUUCAAAUAAUUUAACUAAUUUAAAUUUUUAUCCAAAUUAUUAUAUCAUUUAGUAUUUAAUUAAAUUAAUUCCUAUAUAAUUUGUAGAACUCUGACGGAGACCACAGCAACAAUGUAACGGAGGCUAUUUCCUUUUGUUUGUUUCUAUUUUUUUUAAUCGCAACUUAUCCGUAUGAGUGCGUGAGCCAUCAUCCACCUUUUGUCGGGCCCACAUCGACUAGCAAGAUGACGUGGCACUUUCACUUCCAAAGUCUCGGCCUCUUCCCCCUAUUUAAACCGCCAUCGAAGACUCGAACAUCCCCAAGCUCUCAGCACAGUCCACACCAAAAAAACUCCCUUCCUUUUCUUUUUCCUACAAUACGAGCGCUUUAAUUCUUGUUCUCCGAUCGUUCGAUAAAAUCCCCCUUCAAAAAAAGAAUGGCCGUCGAUUCGCCUCUCUCGUCUCCGCUAGGUCCGCCGGCGUGCGAGAAAGAUGCGAAAGCUUUGCAGUUCAUCGAGGAAAUGACUCGAAAUGCCGAGUCCGUUCAACAGAGAGUCCUCGCUGAAAUCUUAUCCCGAAACGCACAGACUGAGUACCUCACACGGUUCCAACUCAACGGUGCAACCGACCGAGAAACUUUCAAGUCCAAGCUCCCGGUCAUUACUUACGAGGACCUUCAGCCUGAAAUCCAUCGUAUUGCUAAUGGCGACCGCUCUGCUAUUUUAUCUGCCCACCCCAUCUCAGAAUUCCUCACCAGGUUCGUAUAUAAUAUAUAAUAUAUGAUUAUGAACUGUACUUAAAGAAAAGGUAUAAUUUCGGGUUUAGUCCUUCUAUUAUGUUAAACUUUGUUAUUUCUUUAAUUACCAUCAUUAAAGCGAUGACCUGGAUUCGUUUACUAUUUAUUUGGUCUCAAUUUCGAGACCAAAUGAAAAUUCGGUCCAUCAUAUUCACUUAAUAGCAAAUUUACAUCUUAACCGAAUGCUUCACAGUUACUAUACUGUUAUCAAUUUGUACAAACGGUCUAAAUUAUGACAAAUUCAAUUAGAAGGUUUAAAUUCUAGAUUUCAACAUAAUAAGAGGACUAAAACUAGAAUUAGACUACAAAUAAUGAGAUCCAUGUAUGUUUCUAUAUUGAUGCUGAUAAAUUUUCCUGGAAAAUCGUGCAGCUCCGGGACAUCAGCUGGUGAGAGGAAACCCAUGCCUACAAUUAAAGAAGAGCUAGAUCGCCGUCAGUUGCUUUACAGUUUGCUCAUGCCAGUGAUGAAUCUGUAAGUAUUUGGGGGAAAAAAAAGGGGUUAAAUUUUGGUUUUGGUCCAUUCGCUGUGCUAAAUUUAAGAUUUAAUAUCCAUUUUUAGUUUCUCAUAAUUUGAUUUUUUUGUCUUUUACAAAAAAAAAACAAAACAAAACAAUUAUUUAGUACAAUAGUUAACACUGUUACUUAUCAUAAAAGCACAGCCAGCAUCAUAUUAUGUGAAAUUGAACUCCAUGAAUUAAAUCACUAAUUUAAGUAGUAGAGGAUUAAAAUGAAAAAAUUGAUAGCACAGAAACAAUGUACUAAUUAGGUUUGUGAUGUUGAAUUAAUGGAACGCGGUUUCUAUGGAACAGUUAUGUGGCAGGCUUGGACAAAGGCAAGGGCCUAUAUUUAUUGUUUGUGAAAUCGGAGAUAAGGACCCCCGGUGGUCUCUUGGCUCGCCCUGUCCUCACCAGCUACUACAAGAGCGACCAUUUCAAGACUCGCCCUUACGAUCCUUACAACGUUUACACCAGCCCCAAUGAGGCCAUCCUCUGUCCCGACUCGUUUCAGAGCAUGUACACCCAGAUGCUCUGUGGCCUCCUUGACCGCCACCAAGUUCUUCGCCUCGGCGCGGUCUUCGCUUCUGGACUCCUCCGUGCAAUCAGGUUCCUUCAACUCAACUGGCGACAACUCGCACAUGAUAUGGAAACGGGUUCCUUGAACUCGAAAAUCACUGACCCUUCAUUGAGGGAAUGCAUUGUUAAGACCCUAAAACCUAACCCCGAGCUUGCCCAGUUCGUCCGCCAUGAGUGUUCGAAGGAUGAUUGGGAGGGGAUCAUUGUAAGAAUUUGGCCUAACACGAAAUAUCUCGACGUCAUUGUAACCGGAGCUAUGGCGCAGUAUAUUCCAACCCUUGAUUAUUAUAGUGGUGGGUUACCUUUGGCUUGCACCAUGUAUGCUUCAUCUGAAUGUUACUUUGGUUUGAACCUUAACCUCAUGUGUAAACCGUCGGAAGUUUCUUAUACCAUCAUGCCCAACAUGGCGUACUUCGAGUUCUUACCCCACGAGCCUAAUCUUGACUCAACUGGUUUCGAUUUCACUCAUGAAUUGCCUCCUAAACUCGUCGACCUCGUGGAUGUGGAAGUCGGGAAAGAAUAUGAGCUCGUGAUCACAACCUAUGCGGGGCUAUGCAGUACCGAGUGGGCGACAUUCUUCGCGUCACCGGUUUCCACAACUCGGCCCCGCAAUUCCAUUUCAUCAGGAGGAAAAAUGUGUUGCUCAGCAUCGACUCAGACAAAACCGACGAGGCUGAGCUGCAAACGGCGGUCGAGAAUGCUUCUCACCUCCUCCGUGAGCACAACGCCAGCGUAGUGGAGUACACGAGUCACGCCGAUACAAAAACAAUCCCUGGUCAUUACGUAGUAUACUGGGAAUUGUUGGUGAAAGACUCGACCAACUCCCCAGACAAUGAUACCCUAGAACAAUGUUGUUUAGCAAUGGAAGAGUCACUGAACUCAGUAUACCGGCAAGGGCGAGUGGCGGAUAACUCGAUCGGACCGCUAGGAAUCCGAGUGGUAAAAAACGGGACGUUUGAAGAGUUAAUGGAUUACGCAAUAUCAAGAGGAGCAUCCAUUAAUCAAUACAAGGUUCCAAGGUGUGUUAGUUUCACCCCAAUCAUGGAGUUGUUGGAUUCUAGGGUGGUAUCUGCACAUUUUAGCCCAGCUUUGCCACAUUGGUCCCCAGAAAGAAGUCAAUGAAAUGGGCAUAUAUAAAUAGAUAGAUUCUCUUUGUUUUUAUUAUUUUUUAAAAUUAAAUUUAGUUAUUAUUAUUAUUAUUAUUAUAUAAUUUUGUAGUAGCUUUUGGUGUAAGGUAAAAGUGUAAGUUGAGUAGGACGAUUCAAAGGCUGUUUCUUUCAUGUAUGGAGCAUAACAGGUAAGGUUUCUUUGCUUUAAUAUCCUGUCUUUGGCUUUUCUUCCUAGAUAGCAUUUUGGAAUUCAAGAUUAUAAAAAAAAGUUUUCCAAAAAAAAAUAUAUUAAAAUUUUAAAAUUGUCAAAUGUCCUUUAAUUUUAUUAAAAAUAAAAAUUAAUUUUUAAAAAUAAACAACAGUUUUCUAAAAAUAGUAAUCCUGUAUAUAUUACAUGCCAUGGAAGUAGCUCUAGGAAGGUAAUUACGAACCGAGAACUCACAUUUUGCUCUUUAAAAAACAUUAUUAGAAGGAAUUACCAUAAACCUAAUAAAUUAAUUUUCAUCAAAUAUUCCGGUUGGCAAUGAAUUUUUGGAGUUUUUACUGCUUCAAAUCUGGUUGACAUUUUAGUGAGUUUCAAUGCAUGUUUCCCCUUGUUUAAAGAGUUAGGGACACAUUAGGUAAGUUGUGUAAAUUUAGGGAACCAAAUUCUAAAAUGGUUUAAAUUGAAUAAUUAAACUUUUAGAGGGUCAAAAAUAUAAUAUUAUUUCAUUCGAUUAAAGUUAGAAAAUGAUUAAAUUAAAUUGUUUAAAAUUUUUUGAUACAAUGCUUAGAACUACCAAUAACCUCUUUUUGAUACAAUACGAUCUUAUGUGAUUUUUUUUUAUUUCAAAUCCACCUAAGUUAAUCUAUCUAUUGAAAAGUGAGAAUUCAUAAUAGAAAUUCUCAAAAACAUCGAAAAUAUAGCAGAAGCAACUUAAAUAUAAAGAAGUGAUGAGAGAACAGAAAAACCAUAAGAAAACAACGCCCACGAAGUGUUUGAGUAAAUGCUCUAAAAAUAUAUUUACUAACUCUGAAUGAAAUACGAUGAGAUUUAUGGGAUGUUUAUAAAUGAGGAGGAAUGUCUCUAUAAUCCAACGAUACAAUUUGCUUUACAGCGAUGGUCGAGAUUAAAGUUAAUUUACGAUUGAGAUUCUUAAAGGAUUUACAUGAUUCCCUAAUAUUAAAAAAAUCAAAUCUUCUAGAAAUAAAACUCCUCUCUGCUCCCAAGAGUGCUUUACGUAGAGUCCUAGAGAAAGCAGUAACUGCUGCGGCUUGGGAUGGAGGAAAGCGAUAGUGAGGAUAGAGAGGGGAGGGAUGAGAUCUCUCUUCUAGCAGAAGAACUCAUCCAAUUAUUAGUCAAGGGGUCGAUGGUGGUACCAAAUUCUAAACCAACGCUGAUAUGUACAGUUUAGACAGAAAAGCUUUAUAACCCAGAAAGUUUUAAGGCACAAAUGAAAAGUAUAUGGAAGACAAGAAAAAAGUUUGAGAUCCAGAUGGUGGGGCAAAAUUUAUUUCUGAUAGUGUUUGAUUUGGAAGAAGAUCUAGAGACGGUUAUGGAGGGGAGACCUUGGCAUUUUCGUAAAAGUAUUAUUUUAUUUGAUAGGUUAAUUCAGGCGGUGGAAAGAGAUCAGAUUAGGCUUAAUUCAUCUCCGUUUUGGAUAAAAAUUGAUUUGUAUUUACCAGAAUUUGAUAAGAAGGAACUCUUGCUUGCAAUUGGUGUUACGUUUGGAGGGUUCUCAGAUCUGAAAUUAAUGAAGUCUGUUGUCGCUCAGAAUCACCUUGGAUGUUCGAAAACCACUUCGCCGAGGUAUUUUUGUCUCUAGUAAUAAUGUUAAUAAAAUGUGGGUUCUUUUCAAGUAUGAUAAUUUACCGAUGUUUUGUUUUGGAUGUGGAAGAAUGGGGUAUGGGAUAAAAGAUUGCACUCAAAUAAUACCUGCAAGGAAAAGUAAAAUCAGUGUUGAUCCACCUUAUACGUUAACUUUAAAAGCAUAAUCAAAAUUAACUGGAAAAGAAAAUAUGAAAUUUAAUGCUAUGAUGAAGAAGGUGGGGUUCAAAGUUCUUACAUAGGAGGCAAAAUAGUGCUGGCAGAAAGCUCUAGAACAAUGGAAAAAGAGAAUAACGAGAUUCGGGGUGCACAGGAGAAUAUGGAAUUGAUGGGAGGGGAUGAGAUGAUAAAGGAGCAGGGAUGCAUAUAUGGGAUAGAUGAGGUCGAGAAGUUGAAUGAUAGUACAGUACAAGAGUGUAAAAACGUAAAUCCUGAAAAGAAGACGAGCUGGAAAAGAAUAAAACUAGUGGCUACGGUGAUACAAACAAAGGCUGAGAAUAGUACGAGAAAGAGUAAGUCCCCAGAAGAAGAUCUUGCAAGAAGUGAUAAUGAAGAUUUUGAUGUGGAUGGAACUAAAAGAUUGAAACAUGAUGAUUUUGAGGGUUGCGAAAAAGCCUUCUCAGAGGUGAUGUUAGAUAGUUCUGGGCAACUUGAUAUUAAAAAUUUCUUGAGAUCUGUGGCUACCAAGAGGCAAGUCAACCGGACGCAAUGAAAAUUAUAAGUUGGAAUAUUCAUAGAUUAGGGAGUCCACGAGCAGGAAGAAGGCUACAUUUUUUCCUAAAGCAGCACAAUCCCCAUAUGGUCUUCUUAAUGGAGACAAAGCUAGAUAAGCAAUACAUGGAAAAAGUCAGGAGGAGAUGUGGUUUUACUAAUGGAAUUGAUAUUGAAUCAGAAGGUUUGUGAUGAGGAUUAUGUUUAGCAUGGAAAGGAGACACUGUAAUAAGUUUACAAAGUUUUUUUAGGAAUCACAUUGAUGUUAUGGUUAAUGAAGGUAAGGAUGAAGAAGAAUAGAGAUUCACGGGGUUCUAUGGUUCGCCCUAUGUUAAUAAUAGGAGCGCUACGUGAAAUCUGCUAAAGAAAUUGGGGCAAGAUAGAAGUCAUCCAUGGUUAGUAAGUGGUGAUUUUAAUGAGAUCAUGUAUUCUUAUGAAAAAUGUAGGGGUGUACCAAGGGAAGAGAGUAGAUUGGAAGCCUUCCAAGAGGUUUUAGAAGAAUGCCAAUUAGAAGAUUUGAGAUAUUCGGGGGUUUGGUUUACUUGGGAAAGGGGAAAUUUACCGUAGAUAAAUAUUAGAGAAAGACUUGAUAGGGGAGUGGCAAAUGAUAAAUGGAGGCAGAUAUUUCCAACAGGUAACAUCAAACAUCUACCACACUCAAUGUCUGAUCAUUACCCACUUCUUCUAAAACAAAAUGUGAAAAUUCUUAUAAGGGCAAUCCAAAAUUUAUAUUUGAGGUGUGGUGGCUCAUGGAGGAAACGAUUGAGAAAGUAAUUAAAGAAUCUUAGGAAUCAGGAACAGGCACAGUAGCUGAAAAACUUGAAAGAUUACAAGCAGACUUAAAGAUAUGGGCGAGAUCAAUCAAAGAAGGGCGAGAGGGACUAAAGAAAAAGCUUACGAAGCAACUUGAUACGUUAAUGACGCAAGAAAAGACUGACGAAACGAUGGCAAAAGUUAUCGACACCAAGAUUCACUUGAAUAUAGAAAUUGAUAAAGAUGAAGCUUAUUGGGAACAAAGGGCAAGAGCAAAUUGGCUUAAAACAGGGGAUAAGAAUUCAGCUUUUUUCCAUAGGUUUGCCACAUAUCGAAGACACAUUAAUGCCAUAUCAAAGUUGGAACUAGAUGGAUGAGGAGAGGCUAAUGAAGUAAGUGAGAUUAAUGAAGCUGUUACUAUGUACUUUCAGAAGCUAUUCACGUCAAAUGGAGUCGAAGAUCCUUCUUAUCUCCUAACGGGCAUUGAAAAUAAUAUUCUGGCAGAUAUUAAUAGAGAUUUAAUGUUAAACUAUAUAGUAGAAGAAGUCUAUGAUGCAUUGAAAGGAAUGGGACCUACUAAAGCACCAAGACAUGAUGGUUUUCCAGCAAUCUUCUUUCAGAAAUAUUGACACAUUGUAGGUAAGGAAAUUGUUAACUUUUGUUUGAGAAUACUAAAUAAUGGUGAGAGUUUUGGUCCUUUCAACCAAACAGAGAUCGUGUUGAUUCCAAAAAUCCCUAAUCCCACAAGUCUAGAUAACUUUAAACCUAUUAGCUUGUGUUCGAUUAUUUAUAAAAUGAUGGCAAAAAUAAUUGUAAAUCGACUACAAGUAGGUAUUGGGAGAUGUAUUGAUGUGGCUCAAAGUACUUUUGUCCCGGGAAGGCUAAUUUCUGACAAUGUGCUUUUAGCUUAUGAGGUUUUGCAUACUUUUCGACAAAAGCGCAGAGGAAAAAAAGGAUAUAUGGCACUAAAGCUUGACAUGAGUAAAUCCUAUGAUAGGGUCGAAUGGGGCUAUAUAAAAGAAGUUAUGUUAAGAAUGGGUUUUGCAAAGGACUGGGUGUAGUUGGUUAUGAAAUGUAUCUCCACAACGUCCUAUGGAGUUAAUACAAAUGGAAGAAGUGGACGAAGCUUUAAAUCGACAAGAGGCUUGGGACUAGAGGUGCUUAUGGGCCGGGCUGGACCCAUAAAAAAUUUCAGCCUGUUACCUACGCCCGGGCCCGGCCCGGCCCGACCCGAAGUAUGGGUCUGAUAUUUUGCCCAGGCCUGGCCCGUGAAAAAAAUAUGAAGCCCGGGCUCGGCCCGGCCCUUUUUUUAACUUAAAAGUUAAAACUAAUUGUUAUUAAAAUUAAUUGUUAUUGAAUUUAUAUCAAAUAUCAAAUUGUAAUUUUUUUGUAUAUAAUGAACAAAAAAAUAAAAUAAGAUUAUAAUAUAUUAAAACAGUAUAUUACAUUAAAAAUUAUUGUUUUAAUCAAAAAAUUAACAAUAUUAAUUAUUUAGUUAAUAACAUUAUAAAAAUAUAAGCACCAUUUUAUGUUAAAAAAUAAAGUAUAGAAACUAAAAUUUAAUCAUUUUGGUAAAAGGAUAUAAAGAUUAAAGUUUAGUUGUAACUUGUAAGCAUAAUGGAAUGAGCAAAGAUCUGAGUUUUGGUAAAAGGAUAUAAACUAGUUAUUUAACUAUGCUAGCCUUGUGAUACAAGAUCAAACUUGUCACAUGUUUAAGUAAUACUAAAAAAACACACAUCAUUUAUGAAAAGAUCUGAGUUUGAUUGUUUCGAAGGAAAGGGUGUGAUAGCAACCUCUAAGUGAUAGCAACCUGACUGGGCCUGCUGUUUUUCUGCCUCAAUAGCUUGUUUCUACAAUAAAACAAAGCAAAAACAAAAAAGAUGAGAUUAAAAUUAUGAAUAACAUGUACAAAAUACAAUGGGAAAUGUUACUACUGCAAGAAGUGAAGUAAUAAUGGAAUGAGCAAAGAGUUGCAACAUCUACGCCACUAGAUUUCAAGAAGUGAAGUAAUAAUGGAAUGAGCAAAGACUCGAUUUUUCAAAGAGCUGGUACUGGGAUUGUCAUACAAGAGAAUUUAAAACAGUGUUGUACAAGCUUGGUCUGUUUUCAUACAAGAAGAAAGAACAUAAGGAUAUAAAUGUAGAUAGGCUCCUUGUAAGAGAAUUUAACACAGUGUUGUACUAAGAGAGUUUAAAACAGUAUUCGAGAGCUCAUCAGGUUCACUAAAUUUAAGGAAUAUAUGAUCUGUAAAUUCACAAGAAAUAUCAAUAUUAUACAAAUAUUAAUUAUAGAUAUUGAUUCCAUUAUGUUACAAAAUGUAUUUUUACUGUGACAGUACAAUCCUUUAUAGUUUGACUUUUCCUCAACAAGACCCAAAAUAAACAAAGUUGGAUGUAAUUUAAAUAUAAAAAUUUGUCUUUGUAAAGUUAAAUGGACAAUUUAGGCUUACUCAACCGCUCCAUAUCAUUUUAAAAAUAUAUACUUAAUAAUUUUUAUUUAAACUUUAAAUAGUUUUUCUUUUAAUUUGAAAUUAAACAAUUUAUCUAAAAUCUGAUUUUUUUUCUUGAAGUACUAACUUCAUUAAAAAUGGAAAUCGAAGUACGAAUGAAGUCAUUUCCACUGCAUAUAAUCAAACUUCCAAUUCUUGUUAUAAGGGCACAUUGUAAAUACCUAUCUAAUGAGACUUCAACAAGAUUUCACUUUUAUUUUAUUCAAUAUAUUCAUUCAAGGCAAUCAAACAUCCUCAAAAACAUCAAAUUAUAAAUCCAUAUCAAAUCUUCAGAUACAAAAAAGAGAUAUGAUUGAAUCAAGCUAUGAAGGAGACCACCAAUCAACCAAUGGUCAAACAACAAAGAGAUAAUAACUGGAUUUCAUAUGGAACAUAAGAACGCAAGCCCAAUUAGCUACCUUCAGUUUUAAAAUGAAUAUGCCACUGAAAGUGAAAACCAAUCCAAAGAAAAUUAAUACAACAUAAUCUUAUCAUUGUUAGCCCUCAUUCUAAACAAACAUGAACCUAGAAAAAAAAAUAGGUAGGAGAUUCAGAACAACAAAUAUCCCAUAUAUAGCACAAAAAACAAACAGAAUCAUCUCAGAAACACGAAAGAACAUUCAAGACCAACCAUUUAUAAAAACACCCAAGAAUAAAAACCACUCAAAUCGCAUGAAAUGAAGAAAGGCCCACUAAUUUAAUCUAUGUUGGAUGAAAGCACAAAGAUUGCAAACACAGGUACAUUAACCCCAGAAAGAAAAAAUGGAAGUAUGAACAAUCUUACCUCUCAAUAGCCAGAUUAUUACAAGCAAGGACUUUAAUAGUCAUGGAGGACCGGACACUGGAGGUGGAAUGGUGGAUCGAUGGAGAUGGUUUUUCGAUUUGGGGAAAAAAAUAGAGGGGAUGGGUUAGGGAUUUAUCAGAUACACGGGAAAUGGGAAACGGGAAAUGUAAUAAUAAAUUUUAAAAAUAAAAAAAAUAUUAAUUAUAUCCGGGCCGGGCCCAAAAAAUUUUACCCAAGGCCCUGUUCAUUUUCUAAACAAGCCUAUAUUUUUACCUAAACCCUCUCAAAUUUCAGGCAGACCAUUGGACCGGGCCGAGCCACCCAACCCAUGAGCACUUCUACCUGGGACAAGGAGAUCCUCUAAGUUCUUUUUUAUUUUUAAUGUGUAGCAAGGGAUUAUCAUCUUUGAUGAGAUUAGCAUUGAAGGAAGGAUUGUUAAGAGGUGCAAAGGUGAGUAGAAGAGGCCUAGAAAUUUCACAUUUACUUUUUACAGAUGACAGUAUUCUGUUUGGGGAAGCAUCAGAUAGGGGGCAAGGUGCUAAAAGGAAUUCUUAAGACGUAUGAAAAAUGUUCUGGCCAAUGUGUAAAUUUCAAUAAAUCUACAAGCUUUUUCUGCACGAACACUAUAGAAGGAAAAAAUAAAGAAGUCUCGGCAAUCUUGGGGGUAAGGACCUCAACAAAUAUGGAAAGAUAUUUAUGUCUCCCGAAUGUGGUUGGUAGACGGAAAAAAGAAUCCUUUCAGCUUUUCAAAGAGAAGAUUUAUACUAGAAUUGAAGGAUGGAGUACCAGAAUGUUAUCUGAAGGAGGUAAGGAAGUAUUAUUAAAUUCGGUACUUCAGUCUAUUCCAACCUAUGCUAUGUCUUUUUUCUUACUACCAAAGUCGCUUUGUAGAGAUAUAGAAAGUAUAUUUGCUAAAUUUUGGUGGCAAAAAGCGCACGGGAAAAGAGGAAUUCAUUGGUGUCAAUGGAAAUAUUUGUGUUGGUCAAAAGAAGAAGGUGGUUUGGGUUUUAGAAACAUGGCUCAGUUUAAUGUCUCAUUACUAGCCAAAUAGGGGUGGAGAAUUUUAAACAAUCCAAAUUCUUUAAUAGCUCAAGUUUUAAAGGCAAAAUAUUACCCAAAUGUUAAUUUCUUAAAUUCACGAUUGGGGAUCAAUGCUUCGUAUAGAUGGAAAAGCAUUUGGGCUACAAAGGACACUUUAGAGGAAGGUUUGUGUUGGAAGGUGGGCAGGGGUACGCAUAUUUCAGUUAGUAAUGAUUUUUGGAUCCCAGAUAUGAAAAAGAACAGGUUAUCAGCUUUAAUUACGAAUUUGAAUGAUUUUAAAGUUGCUAAAUUAAUUGAUCAAAGUAAUAGAACAUGGAAGAAAGAAUUGAUAGCUUCUACCUUUCCAGAGGAUGUUGUCGAGAAGAUUAUUUGCAUUUCGUUGGCAGAAGAACCUUUUGAAAAUUUUCGGGUCUGGAGUGCUGAGGCGCCGGGCAAACUCACAGUACGCAGCGCCUAUAAACUAUUACAAAGCAUUGAAGAUGAUCCUAGAGCUUACGCUUUACAAGCCGACUAUAAGGAAUUCUACAAAAAAUUAUGGCUUCUGAACCUUCCUUCAAAAAUAAAAAUUACAAUCUGGAAGAUAUCAUAGAAUUUUCUAUCUACAUGAGUUAAUAUGCUACUAAGAAAGUUAACAAACACAACAGUAUGCCCCCGUUGUGGAGUAGGAACAGAGAAUAUGGACCAUCUUUUCUGUGAAUGUCCUGCUUCAAUUUCAGUUUGGAGAGAGUUAUCAUGCCAAGCAUUUUUGCAAGAAAAUCAGUUAGAGUUUGUACAGUGGCUAACCUGGGUAUUUGCGAAGAACUCGGUAUCACAGUGUAGGAUAUUUUGUUGUGCAUUAUGGGCAAUUUGGGGAGAUAAGAAUGAUAGAGUGCACAAAAAAGUGAGUAAAUCUGGAAAAGUAAUAGGGAGAUUUGUUAAUAGUUAUAUAUCAGAGUUGAAUAAGAUUGAUAAAAGCAAACCACAAACUUCUAUAACUAUUAACAAGUAGAGGAAGCCACCUGAUCAGGUUGUGAAAAUUAAUUUUGAUGCAGCAUGCGACGAAAAUUUUAAUCAAGCGGCUGUGGGGAUUGUGGCCAGAGAGAGUGAGGGCAUGGUUCUUUUAUCAUGCUCGAAGAUCUAUCAACCGAUUGCAUCAGCCUUUGCGACUGAGGUACUCAUGUGCCGGAAAGCGAUCCAAAUCGGCAUAGACAUGCAUUGGGAAAAAGUCAUUAUUGAAGGAGACUCUUUAUCAAUAAUAAAAAAACUAGUAGUUUACUUAGUUGGAGGUGUCCCCGAAUAUGCAGAAGAACAAGAGGAAAGGGAUAGAGUGAGAGAGCCAGAUUGAACAGGAAAGGGAGAAGAUGAAAUGGGGGGAGUCUGAAUGAGGGUUGGUAAUGGAAUGGACGAAAUUAAAGUCCCCUCGGGAGUGUGAAUGCGUCUUGAUGAAGAAAUGGCAGAUGAAGUGACAAGACGGUGAAGAGUCAUCUUGCUGAUUGGCCAAAAAUAACAGCAACAUUAAUGGGAAUCCAGAGCGUUCUGACUCUAUUUUUGUUCUGUUGAUUUUCUAGGCUGAAUUAGGAUUUGGUUUGUUGUUCUUAGUUUUUAUCGUUUCUUUGUUUAUUUUGAUGCUGGGCCAAAUCUCAUAUCCGGGCCUUUCUUUUUCUCUAGGUAAUUAUUUAUGUACUUUUGAAUUUAUUAAUAAAGCCCAAUCUGUAGUUUAAUUUCAAAAAAAAAAAAUCAAAUCUUCUAAGAUUAAUUUUCAUAUUUACCAUGACAACCCUAAUUUUCUUUAACCGUUUCAUUGGGUCACCAAUACUUCAAAUAGGUGAACUUCUCCACAAGCAAAUAGUAUUAUUUUCAAAAUGUUAAGUGUGACAAGAUUCACAUGCAUGACAAACCCGCCAUUUGAUAUGGUAGGAUUACUUUUUGAGAAAAGAAAAUCUAUCAUAUUUUUUAAAUAAUUUUAAAACUACAACAUCUUUCUAAAUAUUUUUUAAAUUAUAAUAUUUUUAUAAAAUUAAAUUUUAAAAAUAACAAAAUUUGGCCAAAUUGUCAUGUGUCAACUUCUUGUGAAAUUGCCUGACGAUCUCACAGGAAGUUGUUAUGUGGCAAUUCAACCCUUUUUUUUUUAAGUAUAAAGUGUGACACAUGUCAUAUGCAAAGCGAACCUGUCAUUUGUCAUUAUAUUUAGGGAUAAAUCUCAAAACUAAAAAUGAACUUUGCUCUAAUAUGUAAUUUUAUACAUAAACUUUGAUUUUGUACAAUUUUAUACAUGAAAAUUUGAUUUUAUCCAAUUCUCACAAAUUAUUAACAUAAUUAAUGAUAUAACAUCAUUUUAUGUUUAUAUAUUACAUAAAUGUAUAAUUAUAUUUAUCCAAUAUAAAAAUAAAUUGAUGUACUUAUUUACUUAAAUGUGUAUGGUUUCACCAAAAUUAAAGUUUCAUGUGCAUAAUUGCACUAAAUUAAAGUUCAUGUAUCAAAUUGUACAUUUAAUAAAAGUUCAUGUAUAAUUUUGAGAUUUGUCCCUUAUAUUUAUCAUAAAUAUGAUUGUACUUGUCCACAUAAAGUUUCAAAUUGAUCUGAUAUCUUUAUCAUAUUGAUAGAUAAUUGUUGGGCAUUUUUAAAUUACUCAAAACUCAACGUGCAUGUAUUAUAAAAAAAAAACCCAUCAAGAUGCAUGAACUAUGUGAAUAAAACAUGAAAUAUGAUCGUUGGAUUAUUAAAAUAUUAGUUGGACAAAUUUUAUCCAAAUGCGAAAAUUAUUUGGGUUUUACAUUAGUGUAAUAGAUCACUUAUUGUUGAUACAUGGAGCAAGUUAUGGUGGUUUGUGAUAGUUUUCUCAAUGGGUGAAAAGUCAUAAGAAGGUUGAGAUGAUUAGAAUUUGGAUGCCUGGGGAAAGAUAGAAGAGGUGAGGAGAGAGAGUUGAGAGUGUAAGAGGAAAAAGUGCCUCAACCUUAUUCCCGGUUCCAAUAAGCCUUUCAGGGGUUGCUUCGAAUAGUUUCUAAGGUGCCACAUGCCAACCAUAUAUUUGUUUCGAACUUAUUGGAAUUUAGCUAACCUACUACUACAUUGCCAUCCUAGGUACGACUAUCAUGUCUAGGGAACAAAUAUAUAUGAUAUUUGAGCGGUAGGCAUCCUAUCCAUGUUAGGUGUGUGGUCCUAUUGAUUAGAUCUUGUGAGGUCUUGUGCUCGCAAGAUUUUGAGCUUACUGGUGUCUUAGCUUGCAAAGUGUUCUCCUCAGUCAAAAGCGUUGACUUGCAAGAUUUGCUCGUGUGGUGUAGGUAAUAACACUUUUAUAAGGUUAGCAUUUGAUACAUUUCUAGUGAAAUGUUUUAACUUCACAUUAAGGCUUCAAAUAUUUCCAAAUGUCCUUAUUUAGUACUUUAUUUUUAAAAAAAAAUUACCGAAAUGGGCCCAUUAUUUAAUUAUUUACCGGAAUGGUCUAUUUUCCGGCAAAUCACGUCCACGUCAGCGCGAUGUCAGGGGACGCGCCAGGAAAUCGCGUCCACAUCAGCGCGAGUUACUGACGUGGCAACAAAUCGCGCCCUCUAGGACGCGAUUUGCUGCCACGUCAGCAACUCGCGCUGACAUGGAUGCGAUUUCCUGUGCCACGUAGUGCGUUCCGGGGGACGCCAUUUUGCCGUUUUUCCUACGUUAUGUUUUUUCGGCUUUUAAGGCUUAGGGUUCAAGCUUUUUAGGGUUUUUAGGUAUUGGAAGAAAUAAUUUUGAGUUGACGUUUCUGAUCAAAUAGUAUAAAAUCGUUUCUAGCAAGAUGCUAUUUGAGAAGAAUUUGUGAAAUCGCGCCCUCGUGGACGUGCUUUUGCUACAGUCGGUCAUGGAAGAAAUACUUUUUUUUGACGUUUCUGAGCAAAUAGUAUAAAAUCGCUUCUAGCAGGAUGCUAUUUGAGAAGAAUUUGUGAAAAUCGUGCUCUUGUGGACGCGCUUUUGCUACAGUAGCAUGUUUAGGCUGAGGCUAUAAAUUAGGCAUAAAAUGUUCUCAGAAUGCAUAAGUCACAGUAGAAACAAUUUAGAGAGGCUAAGAAGGUUAGAGUUUCAAAUAUGAGUGAACGUAUUAGUGUUGUUAUUUACUACGAUGGUGAGGUUUGCCACACCGAGAAUGGUGUUGUUUUUUUGUCAGAGAAUACAGUGCGACUGGUUUUUAACCAGAACAUAGAUUUGACAGAACUUCGUAAAAGAAAUAGGCGUAAAAUUUUCAGAACGACGCCAAUGAAAGUUCUGUCUAUCACAUAUCGAUUUUGUUCUUCUGUUGAUCCGGUGACAUAUGACUCGUUCGACAUAAAAGAUGCUCGUAGCUUGGAGGCAAUGGUGCAGACUCAUCUUGCUAGUGGAGCACCUUAUAUUAAGUUAUAUGUACAAUUUACAUCGCUAACUGAUGUACUUGCGACCGGUGUUCGAGAUGUAUACACGACCCCUGGUCGACACUCGGUUAGUGGGUUACAAAAUACGGAACAGUCCAUGUUCGAUAGCGGUGUCAAAUGCACAUCCCCCGUAAGACACUCUGUCGGUGGAUGGGACAUGUACGUCAGUGGCUCGACGUUUGAUGCUGGAAAUACGUUCUGGGGAACGGCAUCAAGUUUUAGUGGGUGGCAAUUUACAUCCAAUUGGGGACGUUAUCAAAUGCCCAGAAGAAGGGAUGACGUACUCCCUACGAUGUCAACUGGUGAGGGGACCUCGUACGCUGCAGAUGAUUGUGAGUUAGAAGAUGACUCCGAUGUGGAUCCACCUCGAGAUCCCGGGCCGGAUGGUGCAGAAGUUGGCUUAUUUUCUGAACUGAAGCCUAUUCUAAUAGAACCUGAUUUUUGCUCUCCUCGAUCGCGUCGCCCCGCACAUCUCCCGAUAUAACGUUGCCAAGACGGCAGACCCCCAACUCAAUUCACCAGCUGCUCUAAAAUCAACGAGUUUCAGUAGCCAUUUUAGAUGUACGCGGCUCCGUGACGUGUCGGGCAUCAGAUAACCUCCAAUUAAUUGAAGAAUAUAUGCUUAAGCAUAUUGGAUUAUUUCAAUUUCGGUUAAAUCUUCAUCCAGAUCAGGAAAUGUAUCACGUAACUAGCCCAUUUCGAUCUUACCUCCCUCAAUUUUCUCCGGAAUAGCGCCCAAAAGCUCGUAGAACACCGCCCCCCAAUCGCUAGAUUGGGCAGACCCGGUGACUGGGCUCCCGUCCACCGGUAAUCCCAAUUGCAGACUGACAUCUUCUAGAGUGAUAGUGCACUCUCCACAUGGAAGAUGGAAUGUGUGCGUCUCGGGUCUCCACCUCUCGAUCAACGCACUGAUUAGUUUCGGGUCCACCGUGCAUCUCCGGCCUACCGUCGCCAUGUGCCAAAAACCCGCUUCCCGCAGGCAGUUCUCUACCAACGGUGAUGGAGGAGCAUGCAUAUUCCGGAUAUUGCAUUCCAAUAACCGAUCUACAGACUUUUAUAACAAAUAAAAAAUUAAUAAUUAUCUAAAAAUGCAUAAAUAAAAAAUUCUUAAAUAAUAUUUAAAAAUUAAAUUUAAUACUUACCAUUUUCAUUUGUUCCACCGAUAUGUGAUGCUUAUCAAGACGAGUCAAUUCUCCGGCCAUUGCUGAAAUUGUACAAAUUUUUACGGUUUAAAAAAAAAUAAAAAAAUAUUUUUAAAAUUAUUUAAAAAAUGGAGUUAAGAGAAACUUAAGAGGAACUUAAGAGGAACUUAAGAGAAUUUUUGAAGGAAAUUGAGAGGAAAUUUGAGAGAGGAUUAGUUUGUGAAAAAAGGGGUGGGAGAUAUUUAUAGUUUUUUUUUUACCGUUGGGGGGGACAACGGUCAAAUUUUUGACUAUUGGAGCACUGUUCACGCAAGGGUCAAGUCUCGGCCACGUCAGCGCGAGUUGCUGAAGUGGCAGCAAAUCGCAUCCUAGAGGGCGCGAUUUGUUGCCAUGUUAGCAACUCGCGCUGACGUGGAUGCGAUUUCCUGACGCGUCCCCUGACAUCGCGCUGACGUGGAUGCGAUUUGCCGAAAAAUGGACCAUUUCGGUAAAUAAUUAAAUAAUGGGCCCAUUUCGGUAAUUUAAAAAAAAAAGACUUUUUUUGGUAAAAUGCCCAAAUGGAACACCAUAUAUAAUCCUUUGAAACUUGCUUGUGGAGUCUAAAAAUUUCAUUGACUGGGUAUUAAAUAUUUUAUAUAUAUAUAUAUAAGAAAAAUCCACUUACAUUAUUGUAAACUCAAAUUGUUUAUCUGCUUUCAUGACUUUUUGUAGGAUUAAUAUUUUUAGAAUCCAACUGUCAUAUUUCAUGUUCUAUUUAUAUGAUUAUCUAUGUCAAGUUUUAAGUAUAUUAAAAAUGUCUAGCUAUUUGUUUUAUAUAAAAAAUUCAACCGUUAUAGAUAAAGACAAUAUUUUGGAUCAAAUGCUAGAUAUAUUGGAACUAUUGAAAAUUUACUUACUUGACAAACACAAUUAUAUUAAUAAAUUCAACUGUAGAUUAUUAAAAUAUUUAUCAUACAAAAAAGUUAUAGAAGUGUGUAAAACUAUUUGAGUUUUACACAAUCGUAGGGGGAUCUCUUCCAUAUGUAUUAUUGUAUAUUUAGAAGUUAAAAUCUUUGAUUGAAUUGGUUCAUGAGUCAAAUGAAUAGGAAACCAAUUGUGAAAUGAAAAAAAGAAAAAAAAUCUUCUUUUUUACAAAGUAAUUAUAUUAUUAUGAUAGUAUUUUGGUUUUUUUUUAUACUCAUAGGUUUGAAUAAAAUGCAACCGGGUAUUCACCCUAUCAAUAUCUCAAAUCAAUGAUGGGUUCGAUUCAGACCUUGCCUAAACGGCACCCGAAUCAGACCGAACCAUUUGUCAGGCUAUUGUUCUCUUGUUUUGUUCCUUCAAAGUAAUGUAGUAAGACAUCGAUUUCUCAAAAAGAUCAAUUCUUUUGAUUACAUGAUAGACUUCCCUGAAAAACAUUGGCGCACGUGUAAACGAGGUGCUCUACCAACUGAGCUAUAGCCCUUGUGUUUGUGAUACAUAUUUUAUCAUAUUAUGUAGAUAAUUUCUUGCCAAGAUGAAUAUUACAUGAUCCAACAUCAUAAUCAUACCCUAUUGGUCGGUUUGAUUGGUAUUGCUUAGAAGUAAUAUUGGAUUUAUAAUCCAUCGAUGUAAUAUGUCCCUUUUCUUUCUCUUUAUGAUUCCUUAUGAUAAUAAAUGACCUACUUAACUCGCGGUUAGAGUAUUGCUUUCAUACGGCGGGAGUCAUUGGUUCAAAUCCAAUAGUAGGUAGAACUUAUUAGAUACCAUCGAUCCUGAUGUCUUAUAAGUUUUUCUACCCAUAUUCUUUUAUUGAUUUUCUAUCUUUUUCAUCCUAUUCUGUUUUCGUUUUCAAUUUUCAAAUUUUUUGUUAGAUCAAAAUUUGAUUUCACUUUUGAUUAUAUUUGAUUCUAUUUAAUCGACAGAAUCAAAAUUAGAUGUAUAAACGAAAGUUUUGUUUCUACUAAAAUUAUUUCGAUUAACCAACUCGUUACGAAAUCACGUUGGUAGCCUCGACUCAUGUCUUAGCCCAUUUGAGAGCUAGAUUUGUCUCAAUUUUUUGCCUAUUGCCUUCAGCUUUCGUCAAGUUAGCUUUUGCUAUUUCAAGAGCUUGCUGAGCUUCUUGGGGAUCAAUGUCACUACCCUUCUCCGCAUCAUUUACUAAAAUAGUAAUUUCAUUGUUGCCUAUUCUAGCAAAACUACCCAUCAGAGCCAUCGUUAACCAUUGGUCGUUAAGGCGUAUUCUCAAAAUACCUAUAUCUACAACUGUGGCAAUAGGCACGUGAUUUGGUAAUACGCCAAUUUGUCCGCUAUUAGUAGAUAAAAUGAUUUCUUUCACUUCUCAAUCCCAAACAAUUCGAUUAAGGGUAAGUACGCAAAAAUUUUAGGUCAUUUCUUCAAUUUUCUCUCCAUUUCUAAGUUCGUAGCCUUCGCAGUAGCUUCGUCAAUGUUACCUAUCGAAUAAAAGAUCUGUUCAGGAAGACCAUCUAAUUCUCCAGAAAGUAUCAAUUUAAAUCCUCUAAUUGUUUCUGCUAGACCAACAUAUUUCCCCGGGGUACCGGUAAAUACUUUCGCUACAAAAAAGGGUUGUGAUAAGAAACACUCAAAUUUUUGCACUCUUGCUAUGGUUAAACGAUCCUCUUCGGAUAAUUUGUCCAACCCAAGGAUAGCUAUAAUGUCCUGAAGUUCUUUAUAACGCUGUAAGGUUUGCUUAACCCUUGGUACAGUUUCAUAAUGUUCCUCACUAACGAUUCGAGGUUGAGGCAUAGUGGAUGUUGAGUCUAAAGGAUCUACCGUUGGAUAAAUACCUUUGGCAGCUAAUCCUAUUGAUAGUACGGUAGUAGGAUUUAAAUGCGCAAAUGUUGUAGCAGAGGCAAGGUCGGUCAAAUCAUCCGCAGGUACAUAACCUGCUUGAAUAGAAGUUAUGGAUCUCUCAUUUGUAGAAGUAAUUCUUUCUUGUAAAGUACUCAUUUCGGUACUAAUGGUGAGUUGAUAACCCACAGCGGAAGGCAUUCUACCCAAUAAGGCAGGUACUUCGGAUCCCGCUUGGACAAAACGGAAGAUAUUGUUUAUAAAUAGAAGUACGUCUUAUUCAUUAACAGCUCAGAAAUAUUCUGCCAUAGUUAGGGCAGUCAAUCAAACUCUCAUACGAGCUCCUGGCAGUUCAUUCAUCUGACCGUAGACUAAAGCCACUUUUGAUUCUGUGAGAUUUUGUUCAUUAAUUACUCUAGAUUCUUUCAUUUCCAUGUAAAGAUAAUUUCCUUCACGAGUCCGUUCACCUAAUCCGCCAAAUAUGGAUAUGCCCCCAUGAGCUUUGGCAAUGUUGUUGAUCAAUUCCAUAAUGAGUACUGUUUUACCUACCCCAGCCCUCCAAAUAGUCCGAUUUUUCCUCCACGACGAUAAGGAGCUAAAAGAUCGACUACUUUAAUUCCUAUUUCAAAAAUAGAUAAUUUUGUAUCUAAUUGUAUGAAAGCGGGCGCGAAUUUAUUAAUAGGUGAUGUUGUGCCAGUAUCUACAGGACAUAAAUUAUCAACGGGCUCCCCAAGCACGUUAAAAAUUCUUCCUAGGGUCGCUCCACCGACUGGAACACUUAGAGUAGCUCCUGUGUCAAUCACUUCCAUUCCUCUUGUUAGACCAUCUGUAGCACUCAUAGCUACAACUCUAACUCGAUUAUUUCCUAAUAAUUGUUGUACCUCACAAGUUACAUUAAUUUGUUGACCGGCGGUAUCUCGACCCUUAACUACUAGGGCGUUGUAAAUAUUAGGCAUCUUGCUCGGAGGAAAGGCUACAUCCAGUACUGGACCGAUGAUUUGAGAAAUAUGCCCUAGGUUUUCUUUUUCAAGCGUGGAAACUCCAGGAACAGAAGUAGUAGGAUUUAUUUUCAUAAUAAAGUGAAAUAUGUCAAUUUGUUUUUCCAAAAUUAUCUAAUACAAAAUAAAUCUUUGACAGGAGGUUGAUCGAUUAAUUCAAUAAGAAAUGGGGUUCGCGCUUGAUUUCGUUGGUCCCAUCCAAUUCAAGUGCAUGCAAUUGGAUUGUUUCCUUAUUCAAUGAAGGAAUUUUUAAGUUCAACCAACCUAUUUUCAAAAUAGGAAGUGGAUAAAUAAAAAUUUUGGGAGAGUCUUUCAUUUGUCCAUCAUUAUAGGCAACACCAUCUAUAUUAUCUAUGGAAUUCGAACCCAAACUCUAUUUAUGAUUCAUUAUUUCUAUCUCAUUAGCCUUGUUUAAAUUUCAUUUCGUAUUUAUUUUAGCAUAUUGGUUUUUUUUUACUUUACGUCCAACCUCUCCCCCUUUUUCCAUCUAUAUUCUCUCUUUUUUUCAUUUCAGGGUUGAAUUACGCCUGUUUUCACAUCUAGGAUUUACAUAUACAACAUAUAUUACUAUCAAGGGUGAAUUUCUUAUUUCUUAUUAUUGAGGUUAUAAUAUAUAAUAUAUAAUUUAUAUUAGAUGUUAGAAUAUUAAUUCUAUUAUAUAUUUAUCUAUUCUAUUAUAUAUAUUCUAAUAUAUAUUAGUAUUAUAAUUUAUUUAUAUAUUUAUUAAUUUAUUUAUAAUAUAUUCACAUCACACAAGAUAUAAACAUAUCAUUCAACCAUAGUCGCAAACUAGUACAUUGAAACAUAAAUAUUUUUGGAAAUAAUCACAUAAUAAACCAUUUCACUAAAGAUUUCAUAAUUUAAACCUUACCACCCAUUUCAUGAUCACAAUAUUUAUUCAUAUAUCAAACUUUCCAACAUGUGUUAAUUCAAUACCCAUUCACGACAUUACUUCAUGCCAAAUCAUAUAUCAAAAAUACAAUACACACGUACUAUAAACUUUAUUUUCCCACAUGAGCUUAAACCAUGACCAAUACUGCACAAAUAUAUGCAUCAUUUCUAUUUCAUCGUUUAUCAAUUAUAAUUAAGCAUAUGACCAAUUAUACACAAAUCAUUCAUAUAUUUUCCAAUUUUUCCUCCUCCUCCUCUCCAUUCCACAUCCUUAAUGUGUAUAACACACUUAAACAACACUAGCUAUAAUUUCACUAUUCACUCACAUGUAUAUUCAAAGCUAUUUAUCCGAGUCAGAGUCACUAAAUUAUUUUUAUCCGGAGAUACAGAGCUCCAAAUUAAGAUCCGUUAAUUUUCCUUGAAACUAGACUCACAUAACUUCUUACAAUAAAAUUUUUAGAAUUUUUGGUUUAGCCAAAUAGUACAGUUUAUUCUUUAAAGUUUCUCCUGUUUCGCUGUUUGACAGUUCUGACCACUCUUCACUAAAAAUGAAUUAUCUAAUUGUACAGAAUUCGGAUGAUGUUUCUGUUUAUUUCCUUUGAAAAUAGACUCAUUAAGUAUUCUAAUCAUAUAAAUUAUAACUCAUAAUUAUUUUUAUUCAAUUUUUGAUGAUUUUCCAAAGUCAAAACAGGGGAACCCGAAAUCAUUCUGACAUUGUCUCACAAAAUUUAUUAUAUCUCAUGAUUUACAAUUUCAUUGCUUACACCGUUUCUUCUAUGAGAAACUAGACUCAAUGAGCUUUAAUUUCAUAUUUUAUUAACCCUCUAAUUCAAUUCCCAAAAUUUUUUUCUGAUUUUUCAAAGUUAUACUACUGCUGCUGUCCAAAACUGCUUUAGUGCAAAAUGUUGAUUUCCUUUUUGCCCCAAAUUUCACAGUUUAUACAAUUCGGUCCUUUCUCAAUUAACCCCUUAAUUAAUUUAAUUUUCUCAAUUAAUACUUUACCUAGACAUUAUAAGUUGUUUCAAAACUAUUAAAAUUCAUAAUUUCCACAUAUAACUCUAUCUUCAAACUCUUUUACUAUUAGGUCCCAAACAUUCACUUUCUAUUCAAUUCUUUCAAUAAAAUCAGCAUAUGAACAAUUUAAAGCUCUAAUUCCAUGCUAAAUAAUCAUAUACUUCCAGCAUGUAUUCAUAGCAACUUUCAACUUCUUUCAUAGAAUCAAAAACUAAUGAAUACAAUAAGUGGGCCCAGUUGUAAAAGUCACAAAAAUACAAAAUUUUCAAGAAAUAAUCAAGAAUUGAACUUAUUUGCAGUAAAAAUAGGAAGAAACAGCUUAAGGAAACCCUUCUAUGGUGUUUUUGAUGAUGAGAAUGCAGAAAAAUAAAGAGAAAUCUAGAUAAUUCCACUUUGGUCCUAACUUUAUUAAGUAAUUUUGCAAUAUUCCAAUUUUGCCCUUAAUUCUCGUUACUUUGUUGCUGAUUUCAUGCCUUUGCCGUCCAGCCCAAAUAGACCUUGGGUCUAUUUUCCUUUUAAGCCCUCUUCCUUUUAUCAUUUAAGCUAUUUAAUCAUUUCCCAUAAUUUUGCAUUUGUUACAAUUUAGUCCUUUUUGUUCAAUUAAUUAUCAGAACUUUAAAAUUUCUUAACAAAACUUUAAUACUAACUUUUUAACACUACAUUAAUAUUUAUAAAAAUAUUUAUGGCUCGUUUUAACAUCCCCGAGGUCUCGAUACCUCAUUUCGAUUCUAAUUAUUUUAAUAUUUAUUUCUAGUGUACUAUUCACUAUUUCAAAAAUUUUCCUAACUUCACAUUUAACUUAUAGUCACUAAAUUAAUAAUAUUUUCUACCCGUUUGUCAAAUUUAGUGAUCUCGAAUCACCGUUCCGACACCUCUGAAAAUUCAGGCCAUUACAUUUUUCCUCGUCGGAUUUGUGGUCCCAAAACCACUGUUCCGACUAGACCCAAAAUCGGGCUGUUACAGAGCAAGAUAGAUAAAUUGGAAAAAAAGUUCAAAUUGAGUAGAAUGCAGGGUUGAGUACUUUCGUUCAGUGAUAAAGACGAAUUGACAGAAAAUACCAUGGAUGGGCCAUGGCAAUAAGUGAUAUGUAAUUCCGUGUAAGACCAUAGCUGGGCUAUGACAUCGGUAUAUGUUAUGUGAUUACGUGUAAGACCAUAGCUGGACUAUGGCAUCGAAAAAAUAAAGUACUCAAUUCCAUAAGAUGUUCACUAAUUUGACAAAGUUGGUAAGUGUUACAUGGACUCACACUCAAGUGAUAGAUUUAUUGUGAUUAUUGAAGUUGAAUUCAAUUAAGUGAUUUAACCAAUUGGAUAUUAUAUAUGGCAAGAUGUGUUAGUGAAUUACAUAUUUAUGAAAUGAUAUUUGAAGUUCAGUAAGUGAUAUAUGAAAUUAAUAUGAAAAGAUUUAUGAUUGUUAUUAGUAUUGUUUCUGACAUAAUGUGGAUUCUUCGAUUUUGAAAUUAUUUAACGGAUUUAUUGAGCACAUGAAUGAGUAUGAGACUCAUACGAGUUAGUAUAGAUAUGUACAUGUGUCUUAUAGGCUUUGAAUGAUAAGACUUGUGAAUUGUGAAUUAAUCUAUGUGAAAGUAUAUGGGAUAGAUUAGCGAAUAUUUACAUGAUAUUGAAUAUUUAAUAUAUUACAAUGGUUUAAUAGGAAAAAUAUGACGAUACGAGAAUAUGAAAUGAUACGGAUCAAUUCAGGUACUCGCGAGAAGCAAGUAAUAAUUGAUAAAUUCAUAUGACGAGAAGUGAAGGAUUAUAAGUUCAUAUAUGGCUAUGAAAUGAACAAAUGGUGAUAGCUAUAAGGCUUGGAUCGAAUGAGUAGAUAUAUAUUGGGCCUUGUAAGUGCUAAUUAGCGAUUCGAAGAUAAUAAUUUGAAAGUUUUAAUCUGUAUAAAAUUUUAUAACUCAGUUUAAUAUGUUUAUAAAUGUAUGUGUUUUGGUAAUGCCUCGUACCCUAUCCCGGCGUAGAAUACAGGUAAGGGGUGUUACAAUAUGACAUCGCAAGAUUUGGCCAUAACGUUUAGGUCGGGUUUGGGGUGUUACACAUCCUGUAUGUUGUCCUUUUGCCCCCGUGUUGGAAUAGAAACUUAUUGUAUUGUAUUAGUAGACGAGAUUUUAUGAAAAAGGUUCUUGAUAGAAGGAAAUUUUCUUUUUUCCAUUUUUUCCGUGCGGAUUUUACACAACAUGGGGAAAUCACUAUUUAUAAUUGAAAAUUGAUAUUUCUAAUUCAAAAGAAAAAAGAGCUUUAUCAUAUAUAAUGAACUACUACUCCAGGUUCUCACAAAAGAGAAUUGUUUCUUUCAAUAUUCACUCGUUGUUCGUUAAUAACCCUAGUGAUUGUAUCUAGUAUGCAUAUUCUGAUAGGAAAUAAAAUAUUCAAUUGAUUUUUCAUCGAAUGACUAUUCAUCUACUGUACUUUCAUGGAAAUAAAGGCAAGAAAGCUCUAUUGAAAAAUCACAGUUCAAUUUGAUCUUGUCUAAGGGAGAAUUAGAAUACAGAUGUGGGCUAAGUAAAUCAAUGGAUAGCCGCCUUGGUUCCACUGAAAAUACUAUUGUAAAUGAAGACCUGACUAGAAAUGAUACGGAUAAAAACAUUCAUGAUUGUAGUGACGGCUCUAGUUAUUACAGUAAGGUUGAUUAUUUAGUUGACGUCAAAGACAUUCGAAAUUUCAUUUCUGAUGACACCUUUUUAAUUAGGGAUAGUAAUUAGGACCGUUAUUCCAUAUAUUUUGAUAGUGAAAAUCAAAAUUUUGAGCUUAACAAUGAUCAUUCUUUUUUGAGUGAACUAGAAAGUUUUUUUUUAUAGUUAUCAUAAUUCUAGUUAUAUGAAUAAUGGAUCGAAAAAUGAUGAGCCCCACUAUCAUUUUAACUUGUAUGAUAAUGAUACUAACUAUGGUUGGAAUAAUCACAUUAAUAGUUGUAUUGACUCUUAUCUUCGUUCUCAAAUCUGUAUUGAUAGUUCCAUUUUAAGUGGUAGUGAUAAUUCCAAUGAUAAUUAUAUUUAUAAUUACAUUUGCGGCGAAGCUGGAAAUAGUGGUGAAGGCAAGAAUUUCGAUAUAAUAACUCGUGAAAAUGGUAAUGAUUUAACUCUAAAAGAAAGUUCUAAUGAUGUCGAUCUAUACAAGGAUUUGUGGGUUCAAUGCGAAUGCGAAAAUUGUUAUGGAGUAAAUUAUAAGAAAUCGCUUAAUUCAAAAAUGAAUAUUUAUGAACAAUGUGGAUAUCAUUUGAAAAUGAGGAGUUCAGAUAGAAUCGCACUUUCGAUUGAUCCAGGCAUUUGGGGUCCUAUGGAUGAAGACAUGAUCUCUCUGGAUCCCAUUGAAUUUCAGUCUGAAGAAGAGCUUUAUAAAUAUCGUAUUGAUUUUUAUCAAAGAAAGACAAGAUUAACUGAGGCUAUUCAAAUAGGCACGGGUCAACUAAACGGUAUUCCUAUAGCAAUCGGGGUUAUGGAUUUUCAGUUUAUGGGGGGAGUAUGGGAUCCGUAGUAGGCGAGAAAAUCACCCGUUUGAUCGAAUAUGCUACCAAUAAUUUUUUACCUCUUAUUCUAGUGUGUGCUUCUAGAGGAGCAAGCAUGCAAGAAGGAUGUUUGAGCUUGAUGCAAAUGGCUAAAAUAUCUUCCACUUUAUAUGAUUAUCAAUCAAAUAAAAAGUUAUUUUAUGUAUCAAUUCUUACAUCUCCUACUACUGGUGGAGUGACUGCGAGUUUUGGUAUGUUGGGGGAUAUCAUUAUUGCUAAACCCAAUGCCUAUAUAGCAUUUGCGGGUAAAAGAUUAAUUGAGCAAACAUUGAAUAAAACAAUACCAGAAGGUUCACAGGCGGCUGAAUAUUUAUUCCAUAAGGGUUUAUUUGAUCCAAUCGUACCAUGUAAUCCUUUAAAAGGUGUUUUGAGUGAGUUAGUUUAGCUCUACGAUUUUUUUCCUUUGAAUCAAAAUUCAAUCAAGUAGAGUCUUAAGUGAAAUUUUUUAUUUGUAGUGAAAAGGUAGUUAGUUAGUUUAUCAGAAUCAAAGUCAAAGCCCACGUAGUGGGCUUUGACUUUGUGACAAAAAAAGGAAUUAUUGAAAAACAAAUUAUGUGGAUAAUUAUUAUUAUCAUUAUUCGAUACUACUAAUGAGUAAACCUCUAGCAACAAGAUAAAAAGUGAAAUUUUCAUUCCGUGAAAUGAAAUUCGAAUUUGGAGAGACAAAUAAAACAAAUUUUAUCUUCCUCUAUUGCGUAUGUAUAUAUAAUUUAAAUAGAGAAAAAAAUAGAAUAGAAAUAUAGAGUUUUGCAUCUUUCUAUAUCUCCCGAAAAUUCUAUUUUUACUAAUAAUCCCUGUUCUUGGAUCGGAUUCUAACGAAAUCGAAUCUUUCGAUAAUUUGUAAUAAAUUCUUUCUUUAUUAAAUUCAAAAAUUUAAAUUAGAAGACAAGAACAAUAGAAUAACAAGAAAAGUAAGAAUAAAGUAAGAUAAUAAAGAAAGUGGAUUAUCUUAUCAUAUACACCUAUUUUAUUUGAUUUAAAAAGAUGGGAAAGUCCUCUAAUUUAAUUCUAGAUUCCUUGCACUUAUUAGAUAUCUAUUAGAUAUAUGGACUCGCUUCGAUAUACUUAGUAUUUAGAUAUAAUUAGUAUAAUAUAAGAAUUAUAAUAUAAUCGUUAUAAGAUAUAUUUCUAACUAAACAAUAUAACAAUAACAGGUACAAAUAUUAAAUUGAGGUACCCAUUUUAUCACAACUUUCAGCAGUUUUCUCUCUAUUUUUGUGCCUUUAGUAGGCUUAGUAUUUUCCGACAAUUGCAAUGGCUUCUUUAUCUUUGUAUGUUCAAAAAACUAAGAUUUUUUAGAUUCGAUGUGGCCAAGACCAAAUCUUAUCAAUUUUUUUCAAGACUUAGAUGUCAUAGAUACCUAUUUAGUAGAAUAUUGUAUAACAUCCGGCUUACCUGAACCAAACAUAAAUGAAAAAGCCCCUCUUAUGCAUACGUAAACAUGAUAUAGGGUUAAAUGAAUUAUAGCAAGUGGAUCGGUACCGAACGAAUGUAUGAAAUUAAAGUCUAUAUAUCUAGUAGGUCCGUAUAUGUGAUUAUAUAAAGGGGAUGAUUUUAGAUCGAAGCAAUUUGAUGAAUUCCUUCAAAAAGUUCAUAUCAAAAUAAUCCUAGUUGAUGAGAGUUACUUCGAAAAUAAAAAAAAUAAAGUCAAAUUUUUUUAUUGUUCUCUCAAUUCGAAUAAAGUGCAAUUGAAUCUAGUAUGUAUGAGUUGAUGAUAUUAAAACACGUCAUUCUCUUAUGUAUGAGUGGAGAAUCUCUACAUGUUUUCAUGGAUUCCACUAUUGAGAGGGGGAGAAAGCACAAAUAUAUAUAUUUCAUCAUAUUAAAUAAAAAAGAAACGAGGGAAAUAAGCCACGUCAUCUAGGUAAUGACAUAAUGUAAGUAUGAUGACACCGUGUUACGUUACCUCUAACAUUUUUCGUUUCUAUUUUCCAUCCACUCAAUAAUAGGUGGCUGCCGUCGCUACACGAGGGAAAAGGGAAGACCAAAAAAAAAAAACCCUAAUUGGCGGAGAAAGAACGACGGAGAGGAAGAGCCGCGGUGGCAGAAAAUAAAACUAUAUGGCCGCCCCUCUUUCCUCUCAUUUCCGUCCCCUUUGCUUCUCUUCCCAAUCAUGUUCGAUUCCAAAGCCCAAUCUCUUUCCUUCCUCUCUCUCCUUCCCUCCUCUUCGCUCCCUCUCCCCUUCGAACGCUAAAAAAUUCUCCAAAUCCCCUCUCCUCGCUUUCUCUUCCUCUAAUUUUGAUGCCUCUCAUUUCAAUGAUGGCUUCGGUCCCAAUCCUACCCCAUCUAAGGUAGGCUUUUCAGAACCAGUUUCAGUUUGGUUUAAUUAGGCCCUAGUCCCUUUACUCUUCGGACUUUUAAAAUUGAGUUCCUCUCUGUUUUUAUUUUAGGAAUUUAGUCCUCUACUUGGCUGAUUUGAAAAUUAAACUCCAAUUGAUGACAUUGGUAAUGGGUUUUCGUUAAAUUUGAAUAUGUUAUAUUUUAAUAUUCAAAAUUUUGGCUUAAACAAUUAAAGUUGAAUUGCUAAGACAUAGUAACCAAUUGAACAUCUGGACUGAGUUCGAAUCUUGAAGUCAUCUGGGAAGCUUGAUUAGAUUAGACUUAGAGAAUAAAAUGGAUGAGGACGCGUAUGAUUAUAAAAAAAAAUGAUAGCACAGUCAAAUUUAACAGAAAUCACUUAAUAGUGUUAUGAGUUGGACUUUAAUUUUUCAAUAAGAGAAGUUGAGGAUUAAAUUCCUGGAAUUAAAUGCAGAGGACUAAUUCAAAUAUACUAAGAGUACAGGGAUUGGUACAUAAUCAGAUCUUUCAAUUUUGGAAAGUUACCCUUUUUUUAUAGUUUGCUAAAGUUAGAUUGGGUUUGCUCAUUUCUGGUUUAAAAAUUGACUUUUAGCAAUGUUCUUUCAGAAAUCUGUCCUUACCAAUCUGAUACAGGAGAUUGAACCACUGGAUGUUAGCCUUAUUCAAAAAGAUGUCCCCCCCACAACUGUGGAUGCCAUGAAAAGGACUAUCUCGGGAAUGUUGGGUUUACUUCCAUCUGAUAGGUUUCAAGUCUUUAUCGAGGCACUAUGGGAACCUCUCUCCAAAUUGUUGGUUUCUUCUAUGAUGACUGGGUAAUGUUCAUAUGUUCUGCAUAAGGUGCUCCAUGUUACUAGAUGUUGCUAUAUUUGUGUUGGUUGCUAAGAGGACGAAACCUUGGCUAGGGCCUAUAAAUUCCUCUGCUUGUUGUAGUUUCAAUACUUGUUGGCUUUGUUAAUGGUAAUCAGGUGUGUCAAAUAUGGGUAUGUGCUAAACUCUGGUAUAUUCAUUGUUGAGAAGUUUUUCCAUGUAUUUGGAGGGUCAUUGGUGUCACAUACAAUAUAUACUUUAAGAAAAGUUAAAACUUGGAGAAACAUAGGUUGGUAGACAUAACCUUUUUAGCUUUGCAUAUUGACCACAGUAUAUUUUUUCUCUCCCCUCUUUUGGGCAGAAAAUGUUGAUAUCCUAUUAACAUUUGUUUCAGAGAAGUGCCAAAUCUUAAGCUCAUUUAGAUUAUGCCAAAAUUGGCUCAAUAUAUAUUUGUUUGGCACCACUGGAACUUAAAAGCUGAAUCCUAACGGUUUUUUUAUCUCCUCUGUGCAUACAUUUCUGAUUUACAUCCCAUCUCUUAAUGUGGUACAAUCACUUUAACAUGUGAAUCUUAAGAAUAUUUGUUUUUAAUAUUUAUACUAAGAUCAUAAGUUUAAUUGUUUGAUGUACCAUGAGACAUGCAAAGUAGCAUUUACCUCCAAUAUAGAUGUCUGUCAGAUAUGGGGAUUAUCAGGAAUAAUAGUUCUUCUUUUGAAUUGCAGUUAUACAUUGAGAAAUGCUGAAUAUAGGCUUUGCCUUGAACGGAACCUUGGUUGUGAAGGAGAUUUGGAAAAUCAAACUUCAGAAAAGUCAAACUUUGAUUUACAAGAGAUGUUAUUGGACAGUACAAAAAUAAAUGAAUUUUCAGAGAAAAAUGAUUUGUCCUCUGAAUCUGAAAAAACCAUUGAAGACCAAUUUGAAGAUAUUGACUUUCAAGGCCUGGGUGAAAUGCCCCUGGAAGCUCGUAAAUACAUUCUUCAUUUGAAGGCUCGACUAACUUCAGUGAAAAAGGUAUGCUACAGCAUAUUGAGGAGCCUCCCAUGGUCUGUUUUUUCCUGUAAAUUGAACUGUUCAACUUGAUGCAUUGCCUAGAAAGUUACCUUUUAUGUUUUAUGUGUGAGUUUGCUUAAUUAGAGACACAUCAUAGUUUGCUUCAGUUAAAAGUACUCAAAAGAUGCUAGGAAGGCCUAAAAGAUGCCAUUGUCUCUUAUUGGCUGUGCCUUAAACAAAGUGAACACUAUCUGACCCUUUUUAUAUGGUAUCCGUAUUUCUGAUACCUAGUAAACAUUCUCCCUUGAAAGCCUAUGUUUUUCAUUUGAGAUAGGAUAUUAAGCUAACUUAUACAUUCCAAAUUGUUUGUAAUAGCACUAUGGAAGAAUUUAGACAUGCCAACCUGAUUAACUGAAUAGAUCACUCAAUGGAAACAUACAAGGGAACAGAAAAUUUAAGAUAUUAAAUAUAUCUUUCUUCAUAAUUUUAUCUUUUGAGAGUUAACCCCCAUGGAAGUAUUGGUAGGUGAAUUCUGGCUUACCGAAAUCUACAUUGCAUGAGUGGCAAUUCCCAUGGUUGGUCAGGAUCUGAUAUUAACGAUUGCUUCAUACAUCCAUGCUAUGUUAGAACAUUGAACCUUCUCAGAUUGUUGAAUAUCUCAUUUUCCUUUUCAUCUAUCUUUACAUAUAUAUUCAUUUCACAAUUUCUUCAAAUCCUUUUCUGCAAAUUGGUGGGGUACAUGCUCAUGUUUCCAUUUUUUGCUCUAUUGAAGGAACUUCAUGAAGUAAAGAGGAAAAAUGCUGCUCUACAAAUGCAACAGUUUGUUGGGGAAGAAAAGAAUGAUUUACUUGACUACUUAAGAUCACUUCAACCAGAAAAGGUUAUCCUUGGUCUCAAAACCCUCUAAAGCAAAUUAAUCUAGUAAUAUCCCAUAAACACGAUGCUAUGGGUUUGAUAUCUGAAAGGAAUAUACUAUUUGAUUUUUUUGCUUUUUUCCCCAUUCACAUGAAGGCAAGAUUGAACUAAUUAAAAGGAGUUUUUUGCAAUUUCGCGAUUUGUGUCCCGCUCCCGCCCCCCUUCUUUCCCCUCGGGUUGUAUAGGAAGGAGGGUUUUAUAUUGCCGUGGCUAAUAAGGUUGUAACAUAAUCUCAGGUAGCUGAACUUUCUGAACCAACAUCUCCUGAACUGAAGGAAACAAUCCACUCUGUAGUCCAUGGUCUCCUUGCCACUCUUUCUCCGAGGAUGCAUUCCAAGGUUCCUCCUUUGUCAGAGAACACCACAACUGGAACUCUAAACAUUGGGAGUGAAGACUGUGCAGAACUUGUUGAGAAUACUUCACUUCAAUUCCAGCCCUUCAUUUCAUUAACGCGGGACUAUCUUGCUCGUCUUCUUUUCUGGUUAGUCCACCUCCCCCCCCCCUCUUUCAAACACACGCUACUCUUAUUUCUUUUAGAUCACUUUGACCCAAGAAGCUUAUGUAUAAUUAAAAAAAUAUAAAAUAAAAUGAAAUCUGGUUUUUCAGAAGUUUAACUGGAUAUCUGCAUUUCUAUGUACUUAUUUGCUCACCAUAUGGUACAAUCCUGUUUAAAUUUGAACGUAUUAUUUGUGUUUGACCACUACACUUUGUAAGAAAGAAAGAUGACCGUAUGGAGAUCUGAGAGAUUUUCUUGUGUUUAAACUUCAAAUAAGCUUCAGUCACUCCGUCUAAGAUUCAAAGAAUUUUUCUGAACCCCAUCACCGUAUUAUAAUAUAGCUGAGUUCUAAUAUUCUCAUAUCUGUCCUGAAGGUGCAUGCUGUUGGGGCACUACCUUAGAGGCCUCGAGUAUCGGUUGGAGCUAAUGGAGCUUCUGUCGUUGACAAGCAGUCCCGGCAAUAAUAGUUGUGGUGAUGAGCAGGUUGUUUAGAGUUGCUCUCUGAUUCCAGUGCUACAUGUGUGUAAAUUGGCAUAUCGACUAACUUCUUUUACAGGAAGAGGUAAGAAUCGGACAAGAUUAGGCCCUUCACUCUCUUGCAGAUGGCGAAUUGUUUUUAUGUAUAAAAACGAUACAUUGUUUUUUGUCAGUGUGGAGUUUAGCGUUGGUAUGUUAAUGUUUUUUACCCAGAAAUAGAGAAACCUUGUUGAUAAUGCUCAUUAUUAGUUGCAUUAAGGUUUGCUUUGAACCAUCUUGAAUGUCAUUGUUGCAAGCCUAAACUAAUAAAAAGGAAGUUGAACUGUCGCUUUAUAUUAUCCCUUAAUUAUUUCUUUAAUUUUUUUGAUUUCUUCAGUGUCUACUUUCAGAUUUUUUGUGAAAAUCUUCUUUGAACGAUAAAUUUGACCGAACUGUUAAAAUUUUAGUGGUACUACGUUUUUAAAAGUUUUAAAUUUUGAAAAUUUUUAUUAAUUUUAUCAUAACUUUUCUGAAGAAAAAUAAUUUGAUUAAAAUUUGAAUUUUGAUGGUGAAAAUGAUAAAAAUGAAAGAAUAAGUGUUAAAUUUGUGAUUAAGCUAUGAAAAAGCCAUUAUACAUUUUUGAGUUGAUCAAUUUUGACAAAAAAAUACUUAUGAUUUCCAUGACUGGAUUGAGAUUCCUAAAUGAAAAAAUAGGACUUAAUUUUUAAUUUUUUAAGUGUAUGAGCCAAAUCUCAAAUUUGGUCAAAGUACAAGUACUAACAAUAUAUUUUAACCUAAUUUAAAAUAAUCUAAAGAUAACAUUUAAUUAGAAAGUAUCUUUAAUUCUUUUUAUUUUAAAAGACGAGUUAACUAUAAUAAAAACUAGUAAAACUAUUGUUUUAUAAAAGUAUAAACUUAUUUUAUAUAUUUUUAUUUUCAAUAUUUCUUUCAUUAAAUAAAAAUUUCAGGUUAAUAUAUAAAUUUGAAAAGAUUAACUUACUUUUAACUACUAAAAUAAAAUAUUUGAAAGGAUAUUUUUCUUGUUAAAUUUUGUUUUGAAAUUAUCAAAAUUAACACUAGCGGUCAAAUUUUAAUUAGAAUAAUAAAAAUAAUAAUAAAUUUAAAUAAAAUUCAAAGUUUAGCAGCAAAAUUUAAUAACAUAAAAAUUGAUUGGUAAAUUUAUUUAUAUUCCCGAAAUAUGAUAGGAAACAUCAAUUAAAAUAAAGUAUAGUGACAAGUUUUAACAUUCAUCAAUAAUAUGGUAACAAUUUUACACUUUAAAUUAACUUUUAAAGUUUUUAUCAAACAUCAGUUUAGAACGGAUUUGAACCAUGUUAUCUCAUCCCAACUCUUAAUAUUAUAUAAAAAACUUAUAAUUAAAUAAGGUUGACUUUUGAAUAUUUACUUAAAUGAACCCUUAAGAUAAAUCAAUCUUCCAAAGUAAGGGCUUACCAAGAGGAUUAGGGUUUAUUUAGGAGUAAAAAUAGAAUAGAGCUUAUUCAAUAAAACAUUAUAUAUCAGUUUUUUUCUUUAUCUAAACCAAAGAUUAGUCUAAUUUAUCUAAUAUUGGAAAGGGUUUGAAAAAAAAAUAGAGAAAUUGAGACCCAUUUUAAAGUGGGUUGGAUUUCGAUUUCAAGCCAUGAAAGAUUCAAAAUAGUUAUAUCUAUUUUAUCUAAUAUUGGAAAGGGUUUGAGUAUUUUUCAUAUCUGUUUUACUGUUUAAAUUCGGGUUCGUGGGUGUUUCUCUUAACAAUGUCAUCUUUAAAGUUCAAACUUGUGUUCUCCUUUUGAAAGUACAAUGUGCCUUACUAUUACACUCAACCGCUUGUUGGUAGUUAUAUCUAUUCUUUAAUCAUGUAAAUUAUGAUUUUAUAUAAUAUAAAGAUUAAAUAUAUAAUAUCAAAGUGUAAAUGUUAAAAAAUAUGAUGAUUUGCUUAUGUUUAGAUCUGUUUAUGGGCUGGGUCGAUACAAAAUAUUAGGCUCAUAUUAUUGAUUUGGGUUCAGCUCAACGCGAAAAAUGGGCCUAAAGUUCUGCCCAAGCUUGGCCCUGAUUAAAAAUGCUAAACUGAGCUCGACCCGAUCCGCUUGUAUUAAUUUUUUUAAAAUUAUUAUUUUUAUAUAAAAAUAAAUUUAAAAAUAUAAUACAUCGAAUACACUAAAUAUAUUAAAAUAAAUGUUCUCGACAAAUUGAAAAUAUAUUAAAAAAUCUUUAUACUUAAAUAACGCUAAGAUAGUUGCAACUUAGCAAACAAAUGCCUAUUAAAUUGUAGCAAAAUUAACAAUAAAACAAGAGUUGUACAAUAUCCAAAUAAUAACAAUAAAAUCAUAGCAAUAUAAUAGCGAAAUUGUAGCAAAAUAGCAACAAAAUGACAACAAAAAGGAAAGUUUAGGCUAAUUCGGAUUGAAUUGAGUCGGGCCUAGGCAAAAAAUCCUACCCAAGGCCUAGCCAUUUUAGAAAACGAACCUUAUUUUUUUGUCUAAGUCUAUUUUUCGGGCCUAUAUUUUUAUCCAAAUCCUCUCACUUUUCGGACAGGCCUUCAGGUCUAGACGGGUGACCCAACCCAUGAUUAGGUCUACUUAUGUUUAAGAAUUAAUGAAAGACUUUUUUUUAUAAAAAUUUAAAAAUAAUAUAUAUUUUUUAUAAAGUUACUGAUAUAGUGACAAAUAAUUUGUAUUGAAAUCAAGCUUAAAGUUGGCAUCAAAUUUAGAGUUCAAAUUCUAAAUCAUCAAUGAUUCGAACCCUAGACCUAAUGUCAGUUGUAAACAUAACUUUAACACAAAUUUUUUGUCACUACACCAAUGACUUAAUUGGUACAUGUGAGAAUAAAUAUUAAAUUUAUAUUUAGAAUUGAGUUUUUACCUAAUUGGGCUUGACUAGUGACCAUGGGCCUUUUCUUCACCAAUGUUAAUCUAAGACUAAAAAGACCAUAAUAAUGGAGAUAAUUAUUUGUGGGUUGAGGUGCUUUUAGAAGAUGAAGUCUUGACAAAUAAAAAACAAGCAGGUUUAGAUGAUUUAUCUGUAUAUAUAAAUAAGUUUUGGUAACAUUAAAAUUCAUAUUUUAAUUCAAUUGAGUUUACAUAAAUAUACGUAAUAUCAUAAAUAUAUUCUAUGAUUCAUGUUAAUAAUAUUUAAUAUUUAAGUAAGGAUGACAAAAUUUAUGUUAUUUGAUGGAUUUUUAUCUGAUUUUCUUGAAUAGAGAAAUAUUUUUUUCAACUUGAGUAGCAAAGACAAGAUGUAAUAUGUAAUUAUAUAUUAUACAAUAAAUUUAAAAAUAUUUAAGUUAGAUAUUCAUAGAUUAUCUUUUUACGUUUAUAUGUUAACUACACAUUGACCUUAUUAGAAAUUAGAAACUUCAUCGCACAUGUAUGUGUCACGGGAUUAGAACGAGGGACGGAUCUAAGAUUUUACUCCAAAGAGGAUAAAAUUUCUAAAUCCGAACAACCUUUUUUUAACGUAAAAAAGUAAAUUCUUCUCGGAUCCACAUUAAGGCAAUUACGUAAAAGAACUUCACAAAUUGCCUUUGCCAAAGCUAAUGAUGCGGUGUCCUUCUUUAUCAACAAACCGCAAUAAAAUUGCCAUUUGUUCUUUCUUUGACUCAUCAUGAGUUUCAUCCACUAUAAUGCAGAACUUUGAAUCUCCAAUCUCUUCCUGAAUGAAUCCCUGAAUUUUACUCGCCAAAAUAGAAAGAAUGUUCUUCUAAACAGUUGGACUGACAUACUAUGCAUUUUAAGGGGCAUUUUCUAAGACAAUUGCCGCAUCUUCAUUAUAAGAAGCCAGAAGUUCUAUUAGUUCAAGAAAGGUACAUCGAUUUCUUGAAUCUUGUGCUUCAUUGCGUCCCCUAAAGGCACAACCUUGAAAUAUAAGCCACUUGAUAGCAUCUAUUGACACCUUGAGCUGUAGUCGAUUUCUUGCAAUUUGUUCAGAAUUUUGUUUCUCAAUAAUCCUCCCAAUAAUUUGCAAGGAAUUCUGAAUAUCAAGAUAAUUUUUCAUUGCAUUCUUAUUUAAAUAAUUUUUUGCAUCCUUACCUACAUGAGUAAUAAAAGGACAUUUAGAUCAUUCAUUGACCUUUUUCCACGAUCAAAAUCCUUGGCUUGUAAAAGUAUUUCCAUGACGCCCAAAUGACUUGUUGAAGAGAAAACAAGGAAGGCAAUAUGCAACAUUCUUGAGCCAAUUUGGGAAUAACUUGUACCAAGAUGGGAGAAAUUUAUGUCUAUUCUUGUUAAUAUACUGAGGAGAUGUUGGAGCCUCACUUGGAGGUAUCGGUUGAUAUGGCACAAACUUAAUGUAAGCUUGAUGAACUUCAUCCUGUUGAUUUGGAGGGUAAUCCCAAAUAGAUUUUCAUAGUCCCAGAUCAUGCUCUAAAGAAGAAGCAUCAAACUUAUUUGUUUUGACUCUUGGCACCUUACAAGGACGUUUAAGAACUUGAGAAGACCCAAUAUCUUGUUCAGGAUCUUGGGAAGACUCAAUAUGCCGUUCAGGAUUUUGGGAUUAAGAAGACUUGAUAUCUCGUUCAGGAGCUUGAGAAGACUCAAUAUUGCGUUUUGGAGCUUAGGAUUAAGAAGGCCUGAUAUCUCAUUCAGAAGCUUGGAAAGAUCUAAUAUUUGAUUUUUCUCCACUAAUAACAGAAGGUUGAGGAACCGAUUGAUCAUUAUUGCUUUCUGACAUUUUUUUCUUGAAAAAAAAAUUGAUCUUUUUGUUGACCAUAAUUUAAUAGAAAAACCUGAAGACUGUAAUAAUAUAUUAAAUGAAAACAUAUUAGGAAAAAGUAAAAAAAAUUCAAAUAAAUAAAGAACAUAAUUUAUGUAAAAAUAUUUACCGAAAGGUUUUUUGUGUAAGGAGCCAAAAGGAACAUAAUUUGUAUUUUUUUACUCUGUGCUCUCAGUAUCAGCAUCAAAUUCCUUUCUUUUUCUCUCGGCAGUGUCGGUACCUUACCAAAGGAAGAUAAUUCCUUAGCAAGACAUACAAAUCAAAAUACAAAAAAGUCACUAACUUAAUAUGUAUAGGUAUGGGCCAAAUCAAUUAAUUAUGGAAUUUAGCUUUAAAGUCCAUAUUGGGCCUCUAAGUUUAGUCUUUCAAGGCCCAUCAUAUAUUAAUAUUUGAUUAUUAUUAAAGUUAUAUAAUUAAAAACUGAAAAAUACUUUGUUAAUAUAAAGUAUAACCUUAUGGCUUAAGGGGGUGAAUCAUAUGAAAUACAAUUUAGCUAAGGGGGCGAAUGUUAUACAAUGUGGACACCAAAUCUAAAAUACAUGAUAAUUUAUAUAUAAAAUUCAAAAAUCUAAAAAUUCCGCCCCCUAGAUCCAUCCUUGGUUAGAACUUUAGUUUGGAAAACUACGUGACCUUAGGCAAUUUCUUGGGUUCAAAUCUUGCCUAAGUCAGCCUACUCCUGGAAAAUGAGAAUUCUUACAGAAAUUCUUUAAGGCACCGAAGCAAAUUGAAAGCAAACUCGAAAGAUAAAAAGAAGCUACGAAUGAAUAAAAAGCCAUAGAAAAAUACCACACACCAAGUGUUUAAGUAAAUACUCUCAAAAGAAAUCUAUUACUUUGAAGGUUUAUAACUGAAUGAUUACAAAUAAGGAGGAAGACCUCUAUUUAUAGUUAAGCUCCCCCCAAAUCUAACAAUACAGAUUAAGUUACAUCUACAAUCGAUAUUAGAGCCUAUCUACAAGAUGAGAGUCUUAAGGAAUUUAAACUCUAUACAUCUUUAUCCCUUAGGAUUUACAUUAAUUACUUUGGUAAGUCUAGUUUUACUGGAGUGUUUUAUAGGACCACCAAGGCUUUAAGUAAAUGGGUUUGUUCAUGGGUUCCAUGAAUUGGGCCAGUUCAAGUGGGUCAAAUGAGCAUUAUAUAAUAAGUUGACCUCUAUGAGACGUUUUAUGUGUAGUGUUCAUGGGCUUCGAUCCGCGGCCCGUGACAUUCUGCCCCACCCAUUCUCGCGAUGCCCUCAUCAAGUCCUCGGAAUGACACUGGUUUGACUCAUCUCAUAACGGUUUUGAUGCCUCAGCUAAUUCUCAACUAUUGUUUUUGUCAGGUAGUUUUGCCUCUUGGAACAUUUGCCUUAGCUUAUGCCUCCGCCGUUGCCUAACUAGCACUAUAUUUAUCUCUUGUACAUCUCAUUCAUAAGAGGCCACCGCUUUUACUUGCCCCCACUGUGACUGGCUUUGAUCGAGAUUCUCUUGAUUCAUACAAAUAAGCUUAAGCAUGCCUACUGAUCUGCCGUAAUUUUAUAUAUCAAAUUAGGCUCUCCAAUACACUUGAAGAGCUUAUUAUUAAGCAAUUUAAGUGCCUUUUGUAUGUUUUUGUCAAUUUUUAGCUUUAAGCAUUAAUAAACAUUUUUACUUAGUUUUACACCCUUUUUGAGACCCAAAUUGGCCAAAUGUUGCCAAUGGGAAACUAAGGAUGUGAUUGAGUUGGUGUAAGGAGACGAUAAAGGCUCAAACUCGAGAAUAACAUCAUUCAGAGUGGGUAUCGUGACAUUGAUACCAUGGAAGUCAUGAUAUCCCUGAAAGUGUUAAAGUGAAGAAAAUUGAGUCCAGUUCUAGUGGUAUCAUGACACUGAGACCUUUAAGACCCCAAUUUAGCCACUGUGUUGGGAUCGCGACAUUGAGGAAUAGGUAUCACGACACUGAGUCCCCCAAAACCUCAAUUUAGCUACUAUUUUAGGUAUCACAACACUGAAGCUUAGGUGUCACCAUACUACUUCUUGAAGGAGGGAAAUUUUAUUACAGGGGUCGUUUUUGUCCAACACCAACCCAAUCAAAAUAUAGCAUCUAGAGGCAUUUUGGUCCAAAAUAUUGGAUUGUAAUAAGAUGUUAAAAGCCACUUGUGGCUGAGAAUAAAAGGGGGUUGUUGUCUUUACCUUUUCUUUCAUUAUUUUAGCUUUCUAGUUAGUGUCUUCUUUAUUUUCUUAGGGUUUAGUUAAAGCUUUUCUGGUUUUAGUUGUUUUAGUUGUUAAGUUAGUUAGUAUUUAUUGUAGCUUGGUCUUAAUAGCACUUUGGUGCCCAAAACCUUUUUAGUAUUUUCAUUUUAAUCCAUAACAUUUAAUAUAGCUCAGUUUUAUUUUCCUUUCUUAGAUAAAAAUCUGAACUUUAGUGUUAACUUUCACCACCAUUAUUGCCAUAUUUAUCUUCCUCAAAUAACUAUAAAAAAAACUUUAAGCUUUCUUUAACCCUUUUUUUGUACUUAUUUUAAUGCAUGCUUUGAAUUUAUGUUGGGUUGUUGCUUGUAUAGAAAAGAUGUUGAGUAACUAAAUCUAUGGUGGUUGGUUGAUUGAAAUGUUGCUUGGUUAGUUUUUGCUACAUAGACUAAAUCGUAAAAACUAGACUAAAUCAAAUAAACUUCAAAACUUAGAAUUGACGCCUUUAAGGUAAAACAUAGAUAGGUGAGUUUGAGAGAUCCUAUUGAGCAUCAAUUUGGUUGUCCCAAGUUAGUUUGGUGAGGUUGAGAGAUAAACCGAACUCCAUCGUCUAAUUUGGUAAAAUGAUGCUCUAGAGGUAAAAUUGAGUCAAUUAGAAGUUUAGGCUUUUUAGAUCCAUAAUCCAACUACUAAUUAGCAACAUAGAAGUCAUCCAAUCGCUAUUGUUUAUUGAAUUGUUGAUUACUUAGUUUUGUCUGUUUUACAAUUUGCUUAUUUUUAUUUAAUUAGCGUAAUUAACUUCAGUUAUGAAUUGUUGUAAUAUAAGACUUAGCAAGUAGUUAGCUAGACUUCUUGAUUCCAUGUUAGUUGAAUAGGAAUCACUUAAUACCUAAAUUCCCUUGGGUUCGAUCAUUAGAAUACUUGAGUGCUCCAUUGUAACACUACAAAUAUUACAACUCAACCUGUCACACUUGCAGUAUACCACCAUAUCAUAAUUGUUUUUGUGUUGAUUCAUAGCCUUGGUGCACAUACACCGAGGCGCGAUCACCUACAUUGAACAUCGAGUUCACCUUGAGUCUUGCCGCUAACUCUGAUUUGUAAGUUUCUCAGCUUACCCCCUUCAAAACUCUGAAAGAGCCCUUAUGUCUUUGCCAAGCCAAUUGUAAGUCAUAAUGUAAAACACUAGAUAUGUGUUUGAGAUGUUCCUCGCUCAUAACAUUUACUCUUUCUAACUGCAUACUCUGUAUCACUACUUUUCCCACAAAAUCUGAUGCACAACCCACCUCUCUCAUAGGUGGUAGCCCCACUAAUAUCUUAACAGGCCUCAUAUCGAUAUUUUGCCCCUUUAACAUUUCCAAGGGGAUUUUUGUAGUACUAUGAUCUAUCAAGUCAAUAUCCCCACCACACAGAACAUCAUUGGCUAGCUGAAUUACUGACAAUACCUUGGUUCCACCCCUUGUGUCUUGACUCAUCGACACAACACAUUGCUUUUGUUGAGCAUCUAAGAUGCAAAUGCAUUUGACAAAAGGAAUAAAAAAAAACAUCAAUCUUGUUGAGGAAAUUCAACCCAAGCACGAAGUUGUAAUAAUCUAAGUAAAUUACCUUAAAAUCUUUCUAGUCUUUUCAUUGACCGAUCUGUAACUCAACUUCUUGUGCUACUCCCACAGUUGGGACAUCUUUGGAAUUAACAAUCUUGAUUUUCUUAGUCGAUUUGCUAACUGAGAGACCAAUUUUACCCACGACUUUCUUCGAAAUGAACAGAUCAAAUGCCCCUGUAUUGAUAAGAGCACUCCUCCUUUGAGCUGCGAUGUUGAUGUCUGCAAACAUCAACCUUUUUUUACUUGUGAUUCCUUAUUGCCUUAGCAAAACUAAGUAUAGUUUAUCCAAUCUUCGAUAGCCUUUUCUUCUUUAGGCUCCUCUUCAACUUCUUUACUGAUCGCGGACAGUUUGGAUCGCUCUAGACAGUUUUGCCUCCUAUGCUGACUACUACAUAAGAAGCACUUCGCUAGUUUCUUUCCACUCUCUUUGCCCCUAUUGGUUUCGACACUAUGCAUGAUCGAACCAAACCUCAUGGGUGCUUUUUUUUUGCUCAUAAUCCUUUUUUAUGGUAGAAAACACUAAUAAUUUUUAGAGUCCCUUACCAUUUGCAGACUGCCACAUAAGAAACAUUUUAUCUCUCUUCUUUUUAUUCAAGUUGUUGAGUUUUUGUUUCCCAUUUCAUGGUUUCCCAUUUCCACCAUUACUGUUGAUAUACUCAACUUGUUUUUCUUCAUAUUCCGCACUGUUUCCCUUGUCCUUGGGCUUGAAAGACUCGAACUUGUCUUUCUUCAGAACAAACUCAAUUAAGGAUGCUGCCACAAUCAUGGCUUUAGACAGUUCUUGGACCCCUCGACAUUCUAAUUCCUGUUUCACCCACGGCUUCAACCCACCAUGAAAUAGAAGAAUUCUUCUUUCUCAUUUAGGUCAAAGAUUUGAAGCAUCAAUUCACUAAAGUCUCUGACAUACUACCGAACAGUACCUUGUUGUGUAAGCCGACGCAACUUAGCUCGAGCCUUCUCUAGCCAUACUACAGGUAAAACUAUUUUUCAAUUUUUUUAACUCCUCCCAAGUCCUAAUUACGAUACCACCUCGUUUCUCAUUUGUGGACCUACGAUGCUACCAUAAAAUAGCGACAUCAACAAAAAAACUACAGCAGUGUUUACCUUAGUGAUAUCAUCCUUGAUGCCUAUUGCACGAUAGUAUUGUUCCAUCCCCCAGAGAAUAUUGUCCACGUUCCUCGCAGACCUCGUUCCAUUGAACUAUUUCGGCUUAGGGACAUCUAUUUUAUAUUGCUUAGAAACUGAAACCAAUAUCCCUUUUCCCAUAGCAGCUCUGCACAUAACAAGCUUUCCCUUGAACUCCUCAAUUUUUGCCAUCAUGGCUUCAAUUUCCUCAUUCAAAGCCAUAAUCGAAGCUUCGAGAACACUAUUACUCUUAGUUAGCUUCUCGAUCUGAUCACCCAUGGUGGCAUUGAGGGCCUCUUUCAACACAUCCUGAUUGGCACCAAGAGCCUCUACCACAUAGUCCUUAAGUUGCACUCUCAUCGAGUCUAACUCAUCGGUUCGUUCUUCAACUACCUCGAAUGUUUCCUUCAUACCACCCAUGGAUUCCUCGAUAUUGGUCACCUGACCUUCUAAAUUUGACAUCAUAUCCCUUAAUCUGUUAUUUUCUUGGACCUCCCACAGGUCUUUAUCGAGACAUUCUGCUCGUCUCCUCCUUUCAACAUCUCAAUCGGUGCCUUUGAACACUGGCUCAAAUACCAACUGUCACGGGGCUAAAAAUUUAAUCUGACAAAUUGUGUGACUUUAGGCGAUUUCUUGUGUAACACCUCUAACCCAUAUGCGUCGCCAGAAUAGGGUUUUGAAGCAUUAUCGAAGUUUAUCGAUGAAACAAACAGAAUUCCCAAACAUUUCAUAUCAUCAAAAUAAGUCAUCAAAUUAAAAUUAUAAACAUGCCAAAAUCCAUCAAUUUGGCCUAGUUUAUAUCUACCUAAAACAUUAACUUAAAUUCACAUGCACAUACUAAGCUUUGAUUCAAUUUACCAUACCAUACUAUGGUUUCAAACACAAAUACAUGUUUAUAUGUAUAAAAUCAACCAAUAUUAAACUUAUAAUCUCAUUUACAAUCAAUCCACAAAAUAACUAUUAUUUAGACACCCUAGGUACAUGCCGACACAAAAGAUAGACAUCACCACAUUUGAGUUCGGGAGCAUUGUUGGAUGCUGAAUCGGCGAUCAAAAUUGAAGUACCUAAUCUGCGCAUAAAAAACAAAAUCGUACACUGAGUAAAACUCAGUGGUAUUUAUAUAAUCUGAAUAUUUAAAAACAAGACAAUAUAAUAUGCAUAUUUUAAUUAUAAGCACAUUUGAAUAUUUAUGACCACAUUUAUUCAUACAAUGGCAUUAGCCAUUCAAUAUUCAAUUGAUAAAUACAUCAUUUCAUACCAUUCUCAAAUCUCAUCACUUGCUAUAUAAUAACUUUUCACAAUUUAAUAUAUAUAUCAUUUAAACAAUAAUAUUAUUCAAUCCACAUCCAAUUCAUGAAUACGUAAUUCAUGUGUGUCAUUUUCAUGUUUCAAUUCACUAUCCCAUUUUCAUUCACAUGCAAUAUCAUCCAAUAUCAAUCAUAGUAUUAUUUUAUUUAAUUACCCCUAUUAACACGACUUAGACUCGGACGGAUACACGAAUCCAACCAACACACUAGUUUGGCACCCAGUGCCUCAUCGGAUAAAUCCAAAGAAAUAACUGUGCACAUCGCUAUAUAAAUUUGAAACAUAGUGUCUCACUAGUUAAACCGAAGUAAAUUGACACCUAGUGCCUCAUCGACUCGAAGUCGAAGAAAUACUUGAACUCUUCCAAUCCUAUGGCAUGCCAUCUAUACCCACUCAGCUCGAUACAGUUAAUAGGGUUUAAUUUCACUUUCCAAAUACAGCCAAUAUUCAAUAUUCAAAUUUCACAUUAACACAUAUAUUCAUUUCAAUUCAAUUCAAUUCAAUCAAUUUUAAAUCAAUCCAAUAAUCAAAGUUCCAUAUACUCACCUUAACCACUUACCAUAUACAUUAAAUUAAAAUACAACAAUGAACAACUAGGUUCGGAUUAUAGAAAUACAAACUAGAAAUUCCGAGCUAUUCGAUGUCGACUUUAUCUUUCCCUUUUUUAAUUGAGAAUUCCAGUACGACGUUAGCUACGGAAUUAAAACAAUUAAAAUUCAUCAAUACAACAAAAUUCAAUUUCAUAUUGAAUAUUUAAAUUUGACUCAAUGUUUGCCUAAUUUCCAAUUUAGUCCCUAAACCGAGACUAAUUUUUAUUCUUCACAAUUAAUUCUAUAUUUUCAUGCAAUUUCCACUUUAAACUAAAUUUAAAUCCCUAUUUUCACUUAAAUCCCUAAAUUUAAAUUUUUUCACAAUUUAGUCCCUAUUAUUCAAAAUUUACAAUUCAUUGUAUCCUUUUUCAUUUCUAACUUAAAAAUCUAUCAAUUUAAUCCCUAAUACUAAAAUUAUUCAACAUUAACAACACUUAAAAACUCAAUAAUUGCUAAAAUUUCAACAUGGGUCGAGUAGUACUUAACACCAAGAUUUCAAAAACAUAAAAAUUAUAAGAAAAAAUGACUAACUUGACUAACCAAUUGAGCUUUGAACCCUAGAAAUCCCUAAGCCUUACGUAUUUCUUUCUCUUUUUCUUUCUUUCUUUUCUAUUUUUGUUUGGCUUUUGCUUUCUAUUCUUUCUUUUUUAUUCAUUUACUUAUUUUAUUUUAUUAUACAUUAGUUUAUUAUUAUAAUAUAUAUACUUAAAUAUUAAGUAAAUUUAUUUUAUUAUAAUAUAUAUUAAAUUUAUAAAUAUCUUACCUUAUGCCACCUUAUUAAAGAACAAUGGUAUAAUUACUUCUUUAAUCCCUUUAAUUUUUCUUUAAUCUAUAAUUCAACUUUCACCCUAUAUGCAGUUUAGUCCUUAUAUCUAAUUACUCUUAAUUCAUGCAAUUUCACUUAACCAAAACCUAAUUAACUACACAACUAGCUUUGUAAAUAUUCUUAAUCAAUAUUUACGAGUCUGAUUUGCGAGAAUAGAGUCUCGGGAAUACACUUUCUGACACCCCUGACUAUCGAGUCGUUACAUCUUGGGUUCAAAUCCUGCCCAAGUCAGCCUACUCCCCAAAAAUGAGAAUUCUUCUAAAAAUUCUCUAAGGCACUGAAGCAAAGCGAAAGCAAACUUGAAAGACAAAAAAAAGCUACAAAUGAACAAAAUGCCACAGAAAAAUACUGCACACCAACUGUUUGAGUAAAUGCUCUGAAAAGUAAUCUAUUACCUUGAGGGUUUACAAUUGAGUGGUUACAAAUGAGGGGGAAGGCCUCAAUUUAUAGUUGACCUCCCCAAAUCCAACGGUACAAAUUGAGUUACAUCUAUGGUCGAGAUUAGAGCCUAUCUACAAAUGAGAGUCAUAAGAGAUUUAAACUCUAUACAUCUUUAUCCCUUAGGAUUUACAUUAAUUACCCUGGUAACUCUAGUUGUACUAGACUGUUUCAUAGGGCCACCAAGGCUUCAGGUAGAUGAGUUUCUCCAUGGGUUCCACGAAUCGGGCUAGUUCAAGCCGGUCAAAUAAGCCACAUUUAAUAAGUUGACCUCUAUGGGACGUUUUGUGCACAAUGGUCAUGGACUCUGAUCCGUGGCCUAUGACAUAUGCGUGUGGAAAUAACGAAUUUAGAAUAUAGAUUUCUGUUUGAAAAUAACAUGCAAUAAAUAAUAAAACGUAUGAUAAUAUAAUUUAUUUGUGUGAAAACUCUAUCCCGCCAUAUGGAUAUUUUUAUUUUUUAAUCAAAAAUAUUAAAUUACCCUUGAAUAAUAUAACUUAUUUUAAAUACUUAAAUUUUUAUAAUUUUUCUAACCAGGUUGGGGCCUGGUUGACUCGUGACACCAACUCAGUCAAGAAUUUUAUUAAUAGUAAGUAUAGAUAUACAAUUGGAGGUAAUAAAGUGUGCAUACUAAACUUGAAAUGUAUAAAUAAAUCAAAAUAAAUUUUUAGUUCAGUGGUAAAUUUAAAAUAUUUUCAACAAAAUUGGCAUGGGUUCAAAUCCCACCAUAUGUAUAUUUUAUUAUUUUUUUAAAAUUAAAAGACUAAAAUACCCUCAUAUAAUAUAACUUAAUCAUUUUGUAAUUUUUCUAAUCGAGUUGAUGCCAGAUUGACUUGUAACACCAACUCAAUCAGUGAUUUUAUUAAUAGUAUUGAUAAUUAAGAAGUAUCAAAUAAGGUAGGGUCAAGGAUGAAUCUAGGAGUAUUUUUUCGAGAAGAACUAAACUUUUUUCUUUCAUUUUUGGAGAGUUAAAAGUACAAUUUUACCAUACAUUUACUUAUAAUUUUAUCAUUUAUGGAGAGAUUAAAUUAUAAUUUCUUUUCAUUUUUAGGAAUCAAGGUUCUUGCCUACCUUCCCUUGGAUUCACCUCUAGUAGGGAGGGCCAAAGUUGUAAUUUUUAAAAUUUGACAUCUGGGACGAAACUAGACAAAAAUAAGAGGGAAUGGAACUAUGAUAAAUUUAACAAUAUCUAUCAUCGCCCCAUCCUUCUUUAAAAUUAUAACAUGAAUAUUGACAGAGUGUUGUUGAAUACUAAAUUAAUAAAGUACUUCUUAAAGCAUGAUACUGAUCAUCAAUGCUUAUGAGUUAAGGAAUAUACUGUGUCUGUGAAAAAGCAAAAAGCGAGGUUUUAGGAUCUAUGCGCACCGUUUUGUACCACAUAUUUUGUUUUACAAUGUGGUCCUUCAUAAUUCAUUGAUUCAUAAUGUGAAACAACAAUCAUUAAACUAACCACUUAAGCCUAUCAACAACCUCGAUUGACUUUAUUAAUUAUAACUAAAAUAAAAUUUGGCAUAAUUGCAAAAAAAAACCCUCAACGUUUGGGGCUUUUGGUUUUGUGCCAUUGACCUUUUUAUUUUUUAAUUGACACCCUCAACGUUAUGCUUUUUUCAGAAAUCAGCCCACUUUUAACGGUCAACGCAAAACCAAAAGCCCCCAAACGUUGAGGGUUUUUUUUACAAUUAUGCCAUAAAAUUUUAACUAGGUUAAAUAUGCUCUAAUUCCCUUACUCAUUCUAUAUUUGAAAUUUAGCCCCUUUAUUUUUUAGAUUUAAAAGUACAAUUUCUAUUGUCAAUACCAUUAAAAUUCUUCUACUAAAUUCAAGUCUACUACAAUUUCAUUAUUUUUAUUACAUGGUUACGAAAUAAUUUACGAUUAUUUGUGAACUGCCCUUUAAUGCAAAACCCUAACGGUGGACCAAUCAUAAUACAACACAAACAAAAGCUUCACUUCAAUUAAAUAUGGAGUCCCAUUGAUCCCACCGAGCUAUUGACGGUGAUUCUCAAAUAUCGCGGAACAGAAUGUGAUACGAUGAGAUAGAAUGUAAUAGAAACAAAGACACAGGGAACGGGUUACCUACUCUUAACAGUCAAAACGAACCCUUUCAUUCUGACAUUCUGAAUUCUUUAAUUCGGAAUGAAUCAAAUCUCCUCAAGUAGGAUUCGAACCUACGACCAGUCAGUUAACAGUCGACCGCUCUACCACUGAGCUACUGAGGAACAACGGGAGAUUAGAUCUCAUAGAGUUCAAUUCCCGUUCUCAACCCAUGACCAAUAUGAACUCGAAGUUUCCUUUGUAACCCCCAGAACUUCUUCGUAGUGGCUCCGUUCCAUGCCUCAUUUCAUAGGGAACCUCAAAGUGGCUCUAUUUCAUUACAUUCCAUCCAGAUCCCAAUUCCAUUUUUAAUCUUAAAUUGAGAGUAAAAUUUUUUUAUUAUUGUUUUAUCCAUCCACAAGACUUAAAUUCAAAAUUUUAAGCAUUAAGGUCCUUACAGUUUAGCUCUAAUUAGAUUAUAGAUGUGGGUGUUGGACAUAAAAGAAUAAAAAUCAAAGGGGGUAAAGGAAAAGGAUUAUAAAGUUAUAUAUUUUCAGAUCCAAUGUUGAAUGCCUUUGAAACUUUGCUCCUUCUUGGAUUUUUAUUUUUUAUAUUUUUAAUAUCAAAGAUUAUGAUUUGUGACCCAUCUUUUUCCAUGAAACUUAAGCUUAACUCUCAUCUCUCUAUCUAUUUUUCUUUUUUAAUAUCAAACCUUCUAAUAUUCAAUCCCAAAUAAAUUUGAAAUUAAAUCGAGUUGGGAUUCUAAAUAGGAAGCAGAGUUUUCCAAUUUUCUUUAUUAAUAAAACUCUAAUUUAAAUUUUUUUUAAUUAUUCGAUUCAAUAAUCAGUAUGGUGUAUCUAUCUGUAUUAAAAUAACUGAAAAUUUUAACUAAAUAAAAGAGUAUAGAAUAAGAAGUGCACGUGAUUUGAGGGCGUAAAGAAGAAGGCUGUUGAGUAAUCAGUCAAAAGCAAUUAGCAUGAAAUGGAAGAGAAUAUAUAACAUCAACACUUGCAGUACCUUGCUUUUUCGACAGUUAUAAUACUAAACAAAUAACAGAAAAAUUACAAAAUUGCAUCAAAGGGACCAAAAAUAAAUUAUAAUUUUUUGGAAUGAUCAAAAUAUAAAUUUACCAUUAUAUUAAUUUAUAAUUUACAAAUUUUAAAAGGACUCGUAAGAGCAAAUUAUUACCCGUGCCCGUUUCUAUAAAUUAAAUUUAGACAAUUUUUAAAAAAAUGAACACCCCAACAAUUAACUAUAACUUAAUUCAAAUAUUAAUUGAUAAUAAAUACUAUUUCUGUUAAAUAAAAUGCUAAAAUAGCAUAAUUAAUUACUUGAGUAUAUACUUAUUUUAUUUUUAUUAUAUCUCCUCAGUAUCACAUCACAUGCAGUAAAGUUGCUGAGCAAGUUCAUUUUUUGACUGACCAGCAAAUUAUUAAAAAAAAUUACUCCCCCAUAAAUACUAAGGGUUAGGCAAAAGUGUCUAAACUAUCAAUCAUAUUUUAAAUUAAACUCUAAAUUAUAGAAUGUACUAAUUGAAUAUAUUAAUUGGAUCUUUUCAUCGAUUUAGGUGUUUGGUUCUAUAGUAAGCAUAUUAAGAACAUAUGGGUAUACUAAUCAUAUGGACAAUUUCAGUAUGAUGUGUUAAAAUAAAAAUGUUGGUGCAUAAGUAUACUUAUGUUUACAAUAAGUUAGAUGGAUAAAAAAACUUGAUUGAUAUUAUAUUGAUACUUUGAAGACUCAAUUGAAAUGUUUUGAAAUUUAGAAAUUAGUUUAAAAUUUGAGUUAUAAAUUAAGGAUGUUUGGUACAGUUAACCCAAAUUUUUAAAGAAAAUAUUACUAUUCAAUGCCUAAUUAAAUUAAUAUCAUGAGUUAACUGGAUCGAACAAAAAAAACUAAAAAAUCCAAUUUUUUUAAAAACAACAAAUUUUAUUAUAAAUGUAUUUAUUUUUUUUAAUAAUUUAAUACUUUUUUUUAAAUGAUCACAUUAUAGGUUUUGAUCAUAUCUACUUUUUUUGACACAAUGGCUAGACGUACCCAUAACUCCUCCUCAAUCUAUAAUAGGAUCUGAUCAUAUCAGCUCUUUUUGACACAAUGCCUAGAACUAUCAAUAGUCCCUCCCCAACACGCAAAUAAGAGGAUAAUGCGCUUCAGCGCAUUUGAACUCACAUUUUUCUACAUUGGCAAUAAUAUUCAUGCCAAUCAAGUUAAAACUCAAUCGACAAUAAAUUUUGUAAUUUUAUAAAUAAAUAAUUAAAUUUAUGAUGCUUUGGAGGGGGGGGGGGGUUGGGAUUUUGACGUUGUUUAUAUAAAAUAAGAAUGCCUUUGUCUAGAAGGAACAAGGAUUUUGUCCACUGCUACUGGCAAUAUUUUUAAAUAUAUGACGACCCACUACUUCAAAUUAUGUGAUUCACUUGUAAAUCUAUGAUCGCUGGUAAGAAACAAUUAUAGCAUUGAUAAUGACUAUUUAAUUCUAUGUAUAAUUAACUAUUUAAUCAUAUCAAACAUACUUAUACACAUUAACUAUUUAAUUGCAUAUUAAAUUAGGUUAGAUGUAGGAUUUAGGUUAAAAAUAAAAUUACGUAACAAAUAUAUUUAUAAAAAUUAAAAAAUAAUUUUAAAACGUAAAAGGUUAGACUCUGAUUAAAAUAGUGGAUAGAGAUGUUAAACACCGUAAUAUUUUGGGUUCAAAUAUUUCAUUAUGUGUUUGUAUUUUUCUAUCUUUAUAUGAAUAUAUAUAAAAAAAAUUCCAAUUCUCGGGUCUAAUUUAAUUGAGAAAUUAGGAAAACUCAUUCAUUUUAAAAAAUGAAAAACAUUACCAUGAGAAUAUUUUUACCGUUUUAUAUUUUAUGUCAAAUUUAAAAAAUUGUAUUUUAAUGAGAUCCAAGCUCAAAGUAUAAUGGUUUUGAAUAUCUUUAAUUUUACUAUUUCAGUUAAAGUCUCGUUUGUUUUACAUUAAUUCUUUUUAUAUAGAAUUUUUCCUUAUGUCGUAAAUGUGCGAUAAUCUAAUACUGAAUAAAGAAUAAAAAAUACAUUUAUUUUUUUCUCAUUUUAAAAUUAUUUUAAUAAAUAAAAUUUAAGGGUUAAUAUAUUGAAGAUGUAAAUAUAUAGAGAGGAAAAAAGGAUUAUAUGAACUGUGAUACUAUGUUAUUUGUAUCCAUUUACAAUAAAUUAAUGUUAUUUUAACAUUUUCAUCCUUAAAAAAAAUAAAAUUCAACAUGAUAUGUUGAAAUUUAAGAUGAAAAUGCUAAAAUAAUAUCAAAUUAUUAGAAAAUGAUACAAAUGAUAUGGUAUCUCAGUUUCAUAUUAUCAUUUCUCAUAUAUAGAAAUAUGGACGAAUUUAAAGGAGUAGUUAGGUGCAUUGGUCCUCGAAAAUUGAAAAUUGCUAUGUUGAUCCCUUAAAAUGUUUAAAUUAUAAAUUAAUAUUUAAUCAAAUUGUAUUUUGACCCAAAAAAUCGAUUAAAUCCCUUAAAAAAAAUAAUCAAAUCAUAAAUUAAUACCUGAUAAAAUUAUAUUAUAACUUGUCAAAAAAUUAUAAUUCAAUUCUGGUUUCUAGAUUCACUCCUGUAUCAAUCAAAGUGAGAAGCAAGUGUCUUUUCAUUUUCUCGCAAUGAAGUAGGCCUUGGUAGCUAACAUUGUCUACUUUUUUUACUUAGAUAAUACAAAAAUAAUAUUUAAAUAUCAAAAUAGUAUCCCAAUGCCAUUAUUUACUAAAAUGGCAUGUUAUGAACAAUGUUUAGGGCUGGAGGGUUUGAGGCUGGUAGCACUAGGGGUGUUCAUUCGGUUACUCGACCCGAAAUUGCUAUAAUUGAAUUAACCGACCUUUCAAAAUUUUUAACCGUUAACCGAACCGAAUUUUAAAAAAAAAAUUAACCGAACCGAAAUUUUUUCAGUUUAUAAGGUCGGUUAACCGAAUUAACUGAAAAUUAUGUGUUUUUUUAUUUUUGGUUAAAAAUUACCCGAAUUACCCGAAAAUUACCCAAAAAAAUUCGGUGUUGAGCUUGAGAAAAAAUUGGGUCGGGUUUAAUUUGACCUAUUUUAGGCCCUACCCUGCAAAAUUCGGUUUACCCGAUUUUUUUCGGUUAACCGAUAGGUUUCGAACCGAUUUAACCGUUAACCGAAAAAAUAAAAAAAAAUUAACCGACUCCCGACCGAAUUUUUUCGGUUAACCGACCGAUUAACCGAACUCGGUCGGUUAACCGAAAAAAAUCGGGUUAACCGAAUUAUGCACAGCCCUAGGUAGCACCACCAUUUUUUUUGCUACCCAAUCAUUAAUCUGUUACAAAAAAAUAAGUGUUUUAACGGUGGAGGGUUCGGGUUCAACGACACCGAUAUACAUUACGAGUUAAAUACGAGUAUUUUGGGAAGCAAAUUUUAGUGAGUGGUGACAACUUGGUAAGCGAACACCGAAUGAGUGGUGCCUUCUUGUCAAGUGACACCGACUAUGGAUGUAACCGAUUGUUUCAGUUUUUUCUGACGGCCUAAUGAGAUAUUGUGGGGAAAACUAAGGGGACCUUAUAAUAACCAUGGUCCCCUCAGCAAUGGUGGUGUAAAAAAGAAGAGGGUUUUGGUUGUAAAAAACAAUAACAGAGAGGAGAAAAAGAAGGCGGUAAAAAGAAGAAGAUAGCAGCAAUUUAAGGAGAGAAGAGAAAGAAUAGAGUUUUAGUCAUACAAAAAAAAAAAGGAGUGGAGAAAAGAGAGAAGAGAGAGAAGAGGGUUUUACUUGUUAAGAAAAAGAAAGUAACAGUUGGGAGAAGAGUAGUGUUUAGGGUUUUGAAAGGGGGACAAUAGCCAAAUUCUUUGAUUUUGAAAGGUAAAUUUUCUUUUUAGUAAUUAUUAUUUAUUUCUUUAGUGUUUAUGGUUAUUUAUUAAUUGUUUGAUUUUGUGUGUUUAAGAAGGAGAGGCAACGGCCAAAUUUUUAUUUAAAGGUAAAUUUAUUUUUUGUAAUUAUUUAAAGGUAAAUUUAUUUUUAGUUUUGGAAGUAGUAAUUUAAUUUGGUUUGAAGGUACAUUCGUACAUAUUUUUUGGUGGGCAAUAUUUAGUUGUUUGUUUGAUAAUUUUUAAUAUUUGUUCGGAUUUGUGGUGUUGUGUUAUUUAUUAGUUGGAUUUGUAAUUUUAUUAUUUAUUUGAUUUUAUCAAAAUAAUUCAAAAAAAAAAACCAAAAUGGGUCACUGUACAAAUGAAUUACUGAAACAGGUUGUUUGCUUCAAAUUUGUACGGUGACCCAUUUUGGUAUUUAAUUAUUUUUGGAUUAUUGUGAUAAAAACCCCAAAUAUGUUGUAAAUUAAUUGUCUUCAAGCAGAGAAAUUAUCAUAAUACUUUUAAUUUUUUGAUAAGAAAAUUAAUUUAUACAUGUUACGUUAAAUUGAUUGAAUGCUAAUUAAUUGAACUGAAUUGGUUUUACAAAUUUUUACAGUUCACAUACGUUGAAUAUCUGUUACGUAAUAAAAAAAAACUGUUAUUAGAAUAACAAAUGAAAAAAAUGAGAUGAUUUCUAAAAAAUAAAUGAUCGACUUACAUUAGUGUAUCCCAAAUUACGUUGUUAUUGAUUUGUUUAUAUGGGUAAAAAUAUUAUUAAUUCUUCAAAAAAAUAACAAACGGUACAAAAUUCAUUUUCGUUAUUUGUUCAAGCGAUGAUUAAAUUUUUUAUUUGAAACUGCAGAUGUUUGAAUGAAUUCUUUGAUUACAUGAAUGGAUCACACAUCAGACACGAUUAAUGCGGUGUAACAAAAUUGUUAUUUGUUAAUCAUGAGUCCCUUUAUAAAGUUUCACAUCAUUUUUUUAUUUAAUUGGGAUAUAUUAACUAUUGCAGUAAAUUAAUAUGGUCAGGGCCCGUACCGCGUAUUGAGGGGUCAUGUCAAUGUUGUGGGCUAUCUAUCGGAUGAGUGUCUUAUGCCAUACUUGGAGGCAUCUGGAUUCAGAUUAGUGACAUUGAUCUGCAUGUUUGAUUUGAAAUACAACUUGAAAUACAACUUGAUAUUCACAUUUCAUUUGUCGUGUGGGAAGUGUACUAUUAUUCUGGAAGAUAUUGCACUGCAACUUGAGCUCUCAAUCGACGAUAGUGCGGUCACGGGUGUAAGUACAACAUCCAAACCAACGACCCUUUGCUAUGACUUACUAGGCACUCGUCUAGUGAUGGUGGCAAGAAAUUAUAGUCAAUUUAUGUUUUAAAUCAUUUUUCUUUUUAAUGAUUACGAACUAUAAACAUAUAAUUAAUAAAUACUAUUCAUUCAACAAAUAUAUAAUUAUAGUAAAUUAAUGUUUUAAAACUUUUGACUUAAUUUUUUAACAAACUUUUGAUUUUUUUGAAAACAAUAUUCAUGCCAAAGUGGUGUUUAAAGAUGUAAUAUAGUUUUGUUGUUACUAAAAUAUAAAUAUGAAAAUUCCAUCAUAAACAUAAAAAAUUUAUUACAAGUUUGAACAUGGAGUACAUUAAUUCAGAUUCCACCCGAUCGAGACGAUUGUCCAAUAUGGUAGGUUCAAUGCGGGCAUUUAUUUCAGUUAUGACCAGUUGUUCUGCACACACCACAAAUUUUGGGGUCGAUUUUCUCACUCAUGUCCAUUUCAUUACGGAUCCUGGUAACUUGCAAGCGACCUUUCGACUUCUUAUGGAACCCCUUGUCUGAGACAAGCUCGAAAGUCAGCGGAGACACUUCCCAUGUAGACAAAUCACGCAAAGCGGGAAACUCAUUUCCCUAAAUACACAAUGUGCGCUCGAGAGUGUACACCACAUCAAUAUAUUGUUCAACAUUUGAUAAAGGUGCAAGCAUAAGCUGCAAUGAUAUGCGUACUUGGGUAGCGAAAUGCCUGGAACUUUCUGCAAUUGCACCGUCUGUUUCAAAUAUCAACUCCGUAGGACCUAGGUGGAAUACCGAGUUGAUGACUAAUGGACUCCAUAACUUGAAAAGUUUCUAACUAUUGAGAAUAUAUUUCUACAUUUAUCGAACUCGAUCUCUGAUGGUUCACAUCCAUUGCCUUACCGACCUCCUCGACAAACACAUGUCCCGCAUCCAUUUGGUCUACUUAUUUCAGCCCCAUUUUUGGCAUCAAGGUUGUCAGCAUGUAGAACAUAGUUGAGAAAAUAGAUGAAAUUAGAAGAUGUCGUGUUCGAUUCAACACAGAGUUAACCACCCCUGCCAAGUUGAUGGUCAUAGGCGUACACCCAACGCACCAACUUUCAGUUUCUUAUCUAUUUAAGUUAGACUUUUACUUACAUCAAGGUGGACGAGUCACACACAUAUAGUCUGUUUUAAGUAUGUCACACUAUAAACGUCACAAGUGAAUAAAUCCAUAAAUGGAUUCAGGAUUUAUUCUGUUUGGGUCAUGUCCAAUAUACUGUUAGUUUAGUCAGUCACAUCUAUAUCUCUAUCUUCUAGGAGUCAUCCGCUCCGAUGCCUAAGACAAAGCAUCUCCCCAAUUGGACUUGAUAGACGACAUAUUAGUCUUUCAAUCAGUUUGAUCAUUUCUUAUUAGACUAAAGAUAUAUUUAGGUUCGUCUACUAAUACAAGUUGUCUUUCUGUAUUACGAUUCAACCACAUAAUACCGUUUAGUAUUACUUAAACAUUUAAACAACCAAUGAGCAAUAUUUGCUUCUAUUUUGAUUUUCAUGAAAAAAACUAUGCGAGGACAAUAAUACAAAUUAUAUUAAUGUAAUUCAUGAAUAAUUUUAUAAGUCAAUCUGUUCGGAAAAGGUAUAAGUGUACUUAGAUGAAAAUACUACACUCAGGGCACCAAAUCUAACAUACUAUUGAAGGGGCUAUUUGUGAUUGGGUUAGGAAGAUCUUUGAAGGAAACACUAUAGAUUCGGAGUUAAAUAAUACUCUUAUUGUUCUAAUUCUUAAAGUUCCUAAUUCGAAAAAUUUUACGCAGUUCCGUCUAAUCAGUCUGUGCUCCUUUUUAUACAAGCUAGUUAUGAAGGUGAUAGUGAAUCGAUUUGAGAUUAUUUUUCCUAAGAUCAUAGGCCAAGAGCAAGCGGGGUUUAUUGUAGGUAAAAAUAUUAUUGACAAUGUUGCCAUAGUACAACAAGUGUUGCAUUCCAUGAAAAGUAAGAGUACAAUUUAGUGGAGAACUAUUAAGAUAGAUUUAGAGAAAGCCUAUGAUAGGGUGCAUUGGGAUUUUGUGGAAGCAUCUCUUAAAGUGGCAGCUAUUCCUAACUUUCUAAUAAAGGUUAUUAUGUCAGCUAUCUCGACGUCCAUUAUGCAGGUUUUAUGGAACAAAGUUACGACCCCUAAGUUCAAGCCUGUUAGAGGAAUUCGUUAGGGCUGUCCUUUAUCUCUAUAUCUUUUUUGUGUUGUGCAUGGAAUGGUUGGGCCAUUGGUUUCAUUCGACUAUCUCAUUUGGGGAAUGGAGUCUUAUUCAGUUAUCUCGAAAGAGGGCCUUCCCUUUCGCAUUUAUUUUUUGCAGAUGACUUAGUGAUUUUUACCAAAGCGAACUUGUAGCAUAACAAAAUUCUUAAGGACUUCCUUGAGUGAUUCUGUGAGUUUUCCAGGCACAAGGUUAAUGUUUGGAAGAUCAAUAUGUUUUUUUCUACUAGAGUCAAUGGGGACUUAGUGAGGAAGAUUAGUGAUAUACUCGGAUUCCAACACGUUUAAGAUCUUGGUCAUUAUUUAGGAGUUUCCUUUCACCAAAGAAUUACCAAAGGUUCGUUGAGUUUUUUGGUAGAAAAAGUUCGGAAGAAGCUUUCUAGCUGGGAAGCUAAGGAACUCUCAUUUGUGGGAAGGGUAACUUUAGCAUAUACAGUUUUACUUUCAAUCCUAAGUUAUCUCAUGCAAUUCUUAAUGGUCUCGAAAGGCGUCUAUAACAAAAUUGAAGAAAUGGUGCGGCAAUUCAUUUGGGGAUCUUCUGGUGGUAAAAGGAAAAUGACAUUAGUGAGGUGGGAUGUUAUUUGUCAGCCUAAAUCGCGUGGAGGUUUUGGGAUACGACAUCUUAGCGAUCAAAACUUCACUUUUAUGAUGAGGCUUGGUUUUAAGAUUGUCACCAAAACUGAUGCUUUAUGGGUUUGGGUCCUUAGAGCGAAGUAUGGGAUAAAUGACAAAUUGUCGAAAUGUAUUACAUGGAGUAGAAGCUUUUUUUAUGUGGAAAUCCAUUUCUAAAGCACGACCUUUACUGUGUGAUAAUUUGAUAUGGUCAGUGGUUGAUGUAAAUAACGUUCAUUAUUGGAAGGAUUCUUAGGUCCCUAAUAUGAGACCAUUAAGAAAACAUGUUUCUGCUUAUGCAAAUGUUGUUUCAGACUGUAAGUUGAGUGAAAUGGUUACGAAAAAUGGCACAUGGUGCCUCGAUCUAUUUCGAGUUUGGUUGACAGAAAAUGUUAUCCAACAUAUCGUUAGCAUUCCCCUACCAAUGUCUUUUUGUAGGACCAGAUUUGAUCUUUUUGUCUCGUUCUGCAAUAGUUGCCUUCUUUGUUAAAAGUGCAUAUUGGAUAUUGAAAUAGGGGUCUUGGAAUCCCAGAGAUGCAGUUUGGAAUAUAGUGUGGAAAUUCCCUAGGACUCAGAGAGUUAGGCAUUUCAUUUGGAUAGUUUUGAAACAGAGACUCCUAACCAAUGUCGAGAAAGUUCAAAGGAGGAUUGGUCAGGAUGAGUCAUGCCUUCUUUGUGGACAUAGAUAUGAGGAUGCAUUACAUGUGCUUAGGGAUUGCCCGGUUGCAAAGGAUGUUUGGCACCAAGUUUUUCCACUAAGUCAACAUGGGGUUUUCUUCUCUAGCAAUUUAACAGAAUGGCUGAUUUUAAAUUUGCAUGAUCACUCAAAUCACAACACGAGGGAUCCGAGUUGGGUCUAUCUAUUCGAGUUAUUAGUGUGGCAUAUUUGGAAAAAUAGAAAUUCUUUUAUCUUCCAAGGUAUAUCCAUGAAUCCAAAUGAGAUUAUUAAGGUCUCAUAUAGCUAAGCUAAACAAUAUAUUUUAGUACAUAGGGAUGUGUCGAGGUUGGGAUUAGAACCCUAUUUUGAGCAUUCAUUUCCAAGUAUGUGUUUUUUUUCUCAAUACUAAAGGUGUCGUUCAGGCGAACACUGAUUUAUAUGUUGCAAGAGGUGGUGUGGUUUGGGAUGAAAUGGGGAAGUGGAUAUUGGGAUAUAAUCAGUUCUUGGAAAAGUGUUCAGUCUUUGUUGCCUAGCUAUGAGGCAUUUUGGAUGGUUUACUUCUACUUCAGAAGUAAAGGCAUGAUAGGGUCAUCAUCCAAUUUGAUAAUCUUGAUGUUGUUAAAGCUAUUUGCGACCGUCAGUUAGCUGGGGCAAGUAUAUCACUUGUUAGGAGAAUCCAACAUAUUUUAUCCCAUGAUGACAAAUGGUUCAUGCGACAUACCUUUAAGAAAAAUAAUCAGGUAGCGAAUGCAUUAACUAAAAUGGCUUUUGCGAAUGAUGAAGAUUUGUGUUUAUUUGAUGUCCUUCCUAUAAAGAUUCAAGUAAUUUUAAAAGAGGAUAGAGUGAGAGGUAAUUUGGCUCCAGUUAUUAUUUUAGUUUUUUUACACCAAAAAAACACACCUGUUACCUCUCUUAUAUUAACUAAUAAUUAAUAAAAAUAUUUCAAAGUCAAUUCUAAUUAAAUUUGUGCGACUUGAUUCACAUACACCAAAUUCAAUUAGAGCUAUAGAUUAAUAAAAAUCUCAUAUGGUCGCGUAACCAAUUUGUUAAGUUUUUAAAUGGACAAGAAUUAAAAUGUCCUUUUCAAUAAUAAAAGGAUUAAAAUGAACAUUUGGUAUACUAUAAGGACUCGUAUUGUAUUUUAACCUCAUUUUUUGAGUAAUAGAUGGUAUUAUAAAAAAAUCAAAUUAUAACAAAUUAAAUAAUACCGAAACUAUACUUUAACCCCCAAAAAACAAUAUCUUCAAUAUAUAUUCACACACAAUUUUUCUUUUAAGAAAUAUGACAUAUUCUCAAGAGAAAAUACAUAUGUUUAAACUUUAGAGACAAUAUUGUUAGAAAAAAUAAAACAAAUACGAACAUAAAUCAUGAAAUAAUCAUAAAAAAUAUCAAAAAAUAAGAGUAAAUCUGGCAAAUUUAGAUAUUAAAAUAUUGGGAUUAGUUUUAUUCAAGUUGAAAUUCAACUUCUUUUGAAUUUAAAUUAUUUGGAGUUAAGGUAAUGUUUUAUUAAAUUCAUUUGGGUAGGUUAGUUCAUUAUAUAAGGUAGAAUUAUUAUCUUUUUAUGUUGAAAUAAAAUUAUAUCAAAUUUAAAUAUAUAUUACUUAAAUAGUCCAACAUAAGUAAAAUCUUCAAUUAAAUUUAUUUGUGAGAUAUUUUGAAAUAAACAAAAUACUUUCUCCGUAGCAAUGUAAAUAAUAACAUUUUAAUUUACUUGAAUUUAAUAUAAAAUUCCAACAAUUUUUACAAUUAAAUUUAUAUUUUUAAACUUGAAAAAGUAAAAAAUAGAUAAUUAAAAUUUUAAAAAUAGAAAUAAGGAGACCAAAUUUUAAAUAUAUGAAGAUUACAAGGACUUAUAUAAUAUUUUUAAUUUUUUUUAAUUAACUCUAUUUCUUUCUCUCUCUUGACACCAUACCACACUAUAACUAUAGGGAAUUAGGAAAAGCAAAAAUUCUGUAUUUAGCUCCUUGAAAAUUCGCUACGUUUUCUCCCAUAUUAUAUGCUCUGCUUUGCUCGCCAGUUCCCGGUUGCUCCAUGAAAGAACCUUCCCUCUCCCUUUAUCCUCUCUAAACUUCAUUUCAAUUCAACCCUUUUUUUCUCUCUUGUUUUUUCAUUACUAAAUCAACUAAGGAACCUCUUUUUUUGGGUUCUUUUUGAAAAGCAAAACGCCCGAGCAUUAAUGGAGAAAAAGCAAGGUUUUUUCUCAGCUCUCAAAGAGGAAGUAAUUCGUGGGCUUUCACCUUCCCGCUCGAGGACCAACAGCCCCGGAAGAGCCCGGUCACCCAUUGCGAUUCUGUUGCGGAGAAAGAAAAGCGGCCACAACAACUACGGAGGCGCUUACCUGGCGCAACCGGAGCCCUUGAUCGCGAGGUACGGUGUCGGGGAAGCGUUAACUCCGCUCAUGGAAGGUCCCGACCAGGACGGAGGUGAAACCGGGGACUCCAAGAGGCUUGGGUCGGGGCUAGGACAAUGGGUUAUGGGACAGUUAUCGAGGACUCCAUCCAUGGCUUCCUUGAGUUGCAAAAGGUCCGAUCUAAGGCUGUUGCUGGGGGUCAUGGGUGCACCUUUGGCUCCUGUUCAAGUUUGCUCCACUGACCCUUUGCCUCACUUGAGCAUCAAAGACACUCCCAUUGUUAGUCCCCUUCCGCCCCCCCCCCCCCCCGGUCUUCUUUAGCUUAUAAUAGACUUAAAAAAGAACAAAUGAACUUCUGGGUGUUUUUUUUUCUGCUUAUGCUGGUUUGAAUGGUGGCUAAAGUAUUUAUCAGUUAUAGUAUUUUAUUUGUAAUGUUCUUGUAUUUUUCUUUAAGCUUCUUCUAUGGUCUGUGGAUCCAUUUUAUUAAAUCAUGGUUUUCAUUCAAACUGUGGUUAGCAAGAAACUUGAGUAAAAACUCCAUUUCAUUGCGGUAUGGUGCAGGAAACUUCCACUGCUCAGUACAUAUUGCAGCAGUAUACAGCUGCUUCCGGUGGUUUGAAGCUGCAAAACUCUGUUCGGAAUGCGUAUGCAAUGGGAAAACUGAAAAUGGUAGCUUGUGAAUACGAAACUGCUGCGAAGACGGUUAAGAACCCAUAUGGCUCCAGGGGUGCGGAGUCCGGUGGGUUUGUGCUCUGGCAAAUGAAUCCGGACAUGUGGUAUGUUGAACUUGCGGUUGGGGGCAGCAAGGUUCAUGCUGGCUGUAAUGGGAAGCUUGUGUGGAGGCACACACCUUGGCUUGGUGCUCGCACUGCAAAGGGGCCUGUUAGACCCUUGCGUCGUGCACUUCAGGUGAGGUCUCCUAUGCUUAUCAGCAGCUGAACAUUGGGUCUUCGAUUAUACUUCUAGCAUUACUGGUUUUCUGAUUCUCUCUUUGUGCUUCACUAUUCCUAAUUCAGGGUCUUGAUCCGAGAACUACAGCUAGUAUGUUUUCUGAUGCAAAAUGUAUAGGAGAGAAGACAAUUAAUGGUGAGGAUUGCUUCAUCCUCAAGCUCUGUACCGACCCCCAGACAUUGAAGGCAAGGAGUGAAGGCCCUGCGGAGAUCAUUAGGCAUGUCUUAUUUGGCUACUUUAGUCAGAAGACCGGGCUUCUGGUUCACAUGGAGGAUUCACUCUUGACUCGUAUUCAAUCCAACGGUGGGGAUACUGUUUAUUGGGAAACCACAAUCAAUUCAUAUCUUCAGGAUUACCGUCCCGUCGAAGGUAUCAUGAUAGCACAUUCUGGCCGUUCUGUCAUUACACUUUUCAGGUUCGGGGAAGCUGCAAUGAGCCAUACAAAAACAAGGAUGGAAGAAGCUUGGACGAUCGAGGAGGUUGCCUUUAACAUACCAGGCCUUUCUGUUGAUUGUUUUAUUCCUCCAGGUGAUUUGAAAUCUGGAUCCAUCAGUGAAACCUAUGAGCUACCUCAGGACGAAACAGGGAAGAGUGGGAUCGCCUUAUCAGCAUAUCAUGCCAAAGUUGCUGCACUCGAGAAGGCACAGGAUAAUUGGCUGACAGUAUGAUUUGCAGGAUACAAGUCUGAAGAAGUGUAGAAUUCACAACUUAGAAAGUGCUCAAUUUGGUAGCUAGUUCAGUUGACUAACCCAUUAGAAAUUAAAAAAGAAGGUAGAAGUCAAUUUUUGGACUUCGGUUUUAUGCCUCUAUUAAUCUGUAAAUAGAGCAUAAUGGUUCAUAUCGGGACCUCUAUGGAUCUUUAUACUCUCAAUGCAGAAUCCAACUAUGGAGAGUUGGAGCUCAGUUUUUCCAAUUAGGGAUAGAGCUAAUGGAGGUUGGUUUUUAGUUUACCCGGCUUUGAUGGUAAGUAGCAAAGCUACCCCAUCAACCCUUUUAUUUUUUCUAUAGUUACACUAACUAUAUAUAGUAUGGCAGCAUAAAGGAUGCUGCCAGUUUAACAGUAAUGUCUAGUUUUUUUUUUUUUGAUGUUACAAAUUCUGGAUUUGUGAUUCAAAAUGUGAUGAUUUGGGUUGAAAGUUGUUUGGGGGGUUUGAGAGAAGGGAAAGAGAUUUUGCCAUUUUUGUGGAAAUGGUGAUAAAUAGGCAUAAUGGUAAAUGAGAUGGAACUAACUAUAUUUCUUACCUUCUGAAAGUUAUUCAAUGCUUUUGAUGAAUAUACAGUGAUCCCCAUAUUUCCUUCAUUCUUUUCUAAGUUUUAAUAUGUGACUUGUGAAUGCCCAGAUUAUCUUUGUACUACAAGUGACGACACUCGAACCCUAAUGCUGUUGUUAGGGUGUUAAUAAGAACUUUGGUUGAACCACCAUAUCUUUAAGAAUAUACUUAAUCUUCCUACAUCAAGUAGGCAGCAAUAUCUAAGGUUAUCUUUGACCCAUCACUGCCAUUGGAACCCUUUAAGGCUUGAGUGUGUCCCCUUGGUGGGGUGUCCAAAGCUUUUUUUAGUCAGACAAGCCAACAUAUUUUUGAAGCAAUGCAAAGCCCCACCUUUGACCACAGGUGUAAUGUGGGGUUAGGUUGGGUCAGUGGUGUGAAGUUGUGGUAGCAUCGUUCAAAGCUAAAAAAGCUAAGCACGAGAUGAAAGUUCCUCAAAACCCCCAUGUGAUUCUUCAUUCUUCUUUUGCUUUUGCUUUGGUUCCUUUGCUUAACUGUUUUAGCAGAUCUUUUUACCUGCUUUUGCCAACUUAUUUAUUUAUUUAUUUCGGUCUUUCUUCAUGUUUACUCUCUAAGAUAUAGGUGCUGAGGGUGGGGAAAGUUCCAACUCAUCCCAUGUUUUCUGAAAAGUCAAUCUCUCUUUCUUUUACUCCAUUUUCUUUUUAAGGAGCCAUAGAGGACUUCUCUCUAUAUGUAAAAUCAAGUCAUAUAAAAUUUGGGCAUAUUUUAAUAAAUGCCUUAUAAUAUAUUUUUACUAAAAUGUUUUUCUUUUAAUUUUAUAGAUAUUAUAUCUAUUUUGAUUCAAUUUUAUCAUUAUAGAUGGCUUGAGGAGUUUUUUUUACUUUACCGAUGGUGUACAAGACAAUAAUUCAAAAUAAUAAAUAUAAAAUAAGAAAAAAAUACUAUAUAUGUAUUUGUAUUAAGAGUUUGAUUUUAUUUUGUCUCUCUACUUAAAAAAUUGGUAAAUUAGUCCUGUAUGUUAGAUUAAAGAGCAGGACCAACUUGCUCUUUGAUCUAAUGUACAAGAAUUAAUUUAUCUAUUUUUUGAGUAGAGGGAGCAAAAUACAAUGUGACUCCUAGUAUAAGAGUCUUUAUGGCACUUCUAUCAUAUAAAACAUUACGAUAUUAUGUAAAAUAUAGAGUUGAGUUGAGAUUUUUUUUUUCAAGAAGUUGGAGGCCACGUGGAUUGAAGAAAUCAUUUUGGGCUCGGAAUUGGAUGUUAUUAAUUUUGAGUUUAACUUGUUUAAUUGUCGAUUUAGUUUUAAUUUGGUUGACAUCGAUAUUUUUAUCAAUGUGGGAGGACGUGGAUUCAAGUGCGUUGUAACGCAUUCAUCCUCUUUUUUGAGAAUCAGGAAGGGGUCGUGAAUAAUUAUAAGCGACUUGAUUAAAUUCAAAAUUAAAGUACUUUAAUGAUUGGCUGGUUUAAUUUCAGAUUAUUAACUAUAAAAAUGGGUUAAAUUUACAUUAAAGAUUUUGGUUAAGCUGCAAUUGAAUAAAUAUUACGUUGUUUGUGAGGUUUUAUCCCGUGAAUAAUUUACUAUAAAUCAAUUCUUAUGUUUGUGAGGCUUUGUUGAAUGAGUAGUUUAUUAUAAAUCAACUCUUACAAAAUAAGUCCAAUUCACUCACCAACCCUUUUCCCUUAAAAACUUAAUUCACAAAACAAGUUACUUACAAUGAAUUUGUACUAGAAUAAUUUCUUGACUUCAACAAAAUAGAUUCUCUCUUAAUCUCAAGUAUUCUGGUGUUUAAUGGCUUGCAAAAGUACAAUUAGGAUGUUCAAAUUUUGGUUAAAAUCGAAUUAACCGACCGAAAUCGAACUAAUUCGAUUAAUCUAUCAGUUAACCAAUCUAAUUCGAUCGGAGGGCGGUUAAUGGUUUCUUGAAAGUUCGGUUAUCGGUUAAUUCAGGUUGAAAUUGGGUAAUUAACCGAAUUAACCGAACUUUUAAAAAACCAAUAUUAUAUAUUACCAUUUCGGUUAAUUUUGGUUAAUUAAGUUAAUUUUAAUCUAGUUAAUUCGGUCAAAUGAACAUUAUUAAUUUACUUUUUGAUAUGUUUUAUACUUGUUUUAACAAAAAAACAAAAACAUAAAAAUUUCAGUUAAUUCGGUUAACCGAAAUAAUUUGGUUUGGUUAAUUUAUUUUGAAAAAAUUUUGGUUCGGUUAACGGUUAAGGGUUUAAAAAUUUCGGUUAAUUCGAUUAAUGCUAGUUUGGUUUGAUUAACUGAUUGAACACUCCUAAGUACAAUCAAUGUAGAGCUCUCUCUUUUUUUCUCUCUUCAAAAAUAGUCUUCAAUAAAGAAAAAAGUGGUAGAUAUAUUCUCAAUAUAAACUUCUUUGAAAAUAAAAUCUCUUCGAUUAUGAAAAUUUCGAUCACAUUGAAAGUCUUGAUAAAGUCCUUACUUUGACAUGAUUCUUGUACGAUUUGCCUUCACUAAUGCUCUGCCAGAAAAAUCUUCCAAGAUGCUCAAUUAAAAACCCCAAUAGUUUUGAUCAAAAGAUGUCAACCAAUAUGAUAAGUUACAAUUGUCUACCAAAUGCACGUUAAAUUGCAACUGGAGUUGCAUCUGACAUUUAUAACUAGCACUAACAAAUUAAUUGAGUGUAAAUCUUUUGAUUGCCUUCACUAUGUGUAUACUCAAACAUAUAUGUUGAACAUACAUCCAAUAAUAACAAAAAUAACCAACAAGCUAUUGGUUUAGUAAUAACUUGCAUGUGGGUUCAUGUGUUGGCAUGCAUUUAGGGCUAAAAAAAGGAAAAUAAUAUAUACUUUAACAAUUUUUAAGGUAUCUACUAAUUAUUUCAUUUAAUUUUUUAUAACCUUUUAUUUGUGUAGAGGGUUCUUUAGUAGAGAGAGGAGGUGUUGCAAGCAAGUAAAUAGAAUGUAUCAAGAGUAGCUAAAGAGGAAAACUAGAGCAAAUCUUAUAAAUUGAGCGUAGUAAUAGGUGGGGGCUUGUAAGGUGGAAAAAGGUUACACGUGGCUUAGAAUAAGACUAAGUAUGAGAAUAGUUUAAAAGAGUCUUAGAGAUAGUUUUGGGAGUUAGAAUGCUAAAAUUGUUAAAAAGUCCUUUCACAAGUUGCAAAAGGCUUCUAUUUAUAAUGUCCAAAAACAAGAGUUACAAAUUUAAGUAUUAAAUAGGAGUAAUGACAAAUAUUGUAAGUUACAAAGGCAUUAAUAUCCUUUUAAUAAUAAAUAGUUUAGGUUAACCAUGAAGGGUAAAUAGUGAAUAAGAAUUCACUAUGUUUCUGAAAGAAAAGGGAGAAGCACACAAUGUUAUAUGAAAAAGUUAAGAGGAAACCAUUUAACUACCUCCAUAUUUAAUACACCAAGUCAAUCUCUUCAGAACAUCCCGAGAAUCUUGCCUUAUUUUGAGGUUAUUUUCACUUCUUGUGCUUUUGUGAAGUAAUACCUUGUGAAACAUUUUAUGUAGAACAUCACUUGAAAUGCAAGCUAUUCUUAAUGAAGAAUUCUUCUUGAACGAGAGUUGUUCCUGAAUAAGGGUUAUUUUUAUUUAUUCCAAACAUGAAUUGUUCUCAACAUAGCCACUCUUAGUAGUGGUUGUUUCAAACAAGAAUUGUUUUGCAAUGAUGCUUUUCUUUAAAGAGAUUGUUUUGAAUAAUGACUCAUAUUUAAAAAAAACUCACAAUUGUUCUAAAUAGAAAUUGUUUUGAAUUGUGGUUGUUUUGAAUUAUGGAUAUUCUAAACAAAAGUUGUUUUGAACAUUAGUUGUUCCCAAAUAACAACUACACUCACAGCUAUUUUAAACUAGAGCCUUAUUCUGAACAUAGUCGCUCUGAACUAGCUAUUCUCAGCGACGAUUGUUUUGAACAACAAUUACUCUAAACAAGAAUUGUUCUUCCGGAAAAAGAAUUAAGUGAAACAAUAUCAUUACUUAUUCAUAGUUAACCUUUUUAUUAUCACCUUUGGGAGUGCAAUUCCUUAAAACAGAACCUUAUUAUCUUUGAAAAGAGAUAAAAGAUUAGUAGUAAAACUAGUACCUACAUUUUUUUGUUGUAAUCAAAGUAUCUAUCGUCCACGGCAAUGACUAAUCCUCUCACCAUGGGUGCUCUCCGAAAAAUAAAUGAUUAGUCAUAAAAUAUGCUCUAUUCCCAUGAGCAGAGAUCGAAGCCCCAACCAUAUAAUAAAUAAUGAGAUGAGCAAUCACCAUACUACUCCUCAUAAUUAAAACUAGUAUCUACAUUUUAUCUAUCUUAUGGUUUCUUUUUGUGUUUUUUCCCAUCUUCAUAAGUUGCAGCAGGAUCUUUAGGGAGUGUUGUUAAACUGGUGGACAUUGUUGAGCACUUCAAAAAUACAUGUGCACAAUACACAAUAUAAUAUGCAAUAAAAGUUAGCAAUGUCAAUUCAUAUUAGAGUGUCGGCAAAGGAAAUUUGGACGUGAAAGUGGUAAAAACAUAGAUAGAUAUUUAUGAGAGUGAAGGGGAAAAAAAGACCAUAUUAAUGACAGUGCAUGGUGGAGCAAUGGAGCAAGAGGGUAUCUCAGUUGACUUCAACGUACAUUGCUUUCAAAGGGGGGAAAGGGGAAACUUAAAUUUUUUUUUUUUGCUAAAAAUUUAUUGAAGAUGGUUAAGAAAAGGACAAUACGAGGGACUUGUACACGAUUGAUAAAAUCUAAUUGUUGCAACAUUCAUAAUAAUUUGUUUUGGGUAAGAGGUGAGAGACUCUAUUACCUAUCCAUAAGUUGGGUUAUUGGUUUAAGUUUGAAGGUUACUCGAAAUACGAAAGGUUUGGACAAAAGUGCGAUACCUACAAAAUGAGUUUCGGCAAGCUCGACCCACCCAUUCUAUACUUCUGUAAUAUAUUUUUAUUUUAUGUAUAUAUUAUGUAAUUUAUACCACAUAAAAUUAUAUAUAUACAUAUGAUAAUACAAUACUAGGUAACAUUAUAACAAAGAUGUCUAAAUUUAAAUUUUUAAUAAAAAACCAUAUUAAAUAUUAAAUAUUAAAUUAAAAAUAAUAUGAGUGUGUCUAAAAUGGACUUAGAUUAACUAUUUAUAAAUCUGGGUAAAUUUGAAUUAAAUUUUAGACACAUAUUUUAGAUCAGAUCGAGUCAAGCUUGGACAAAUAUAAAGUGUGCUAAUAUUAUAAAUAUACUUAGACCCACCCAUUAACGUCUCUAACCUUUACUAAUUGAAGUUUGGGAAACUAUUUGUAAUAGAGUUGAAUUUUUUAUAUUUCACAAGUAUGCAGGCGAGGUUUUGGGUUGAUGGCAUGCAUGGUUGAAGGUUUGGAAAUUUUAAAAUAUCAAGAUUGAGUCUCAAUUUAUGUAAAUCAUGUUUAGAUUUGUUUUGAAUUAGAUUCGAAUAUAUUUUUGUUAUCAAUUUAUUUAUGCAUUGUAAUGAUUGAUUUUGAUUAUAAUGAUAUAAACGUAUAAAUUGUAAAUAUAAAUAUAACUUUUAAGAUUAUAUAUAUUUAACUAAUUUUCUUUCAUGUACAAUGUACAAAUUAAUUAUAUGUAUUAAUUUAAUUGCAUUACAUUAAUUAUUUACAAAGUUUUGAUAUUUUUUAGUAUUAAGAGUUUUUUUAAAUUUAUGUCCAUCACGUUGCAUAUUGAGAAGUUACCACAUAUUAACACAAACUAACGAUGUUUAUGCGAAGAUACUCACUUGAAUAUAUAUGCACAUAUACAAAUAUAUAUUGUAAUGAUUGAUUCUGAUCGCAAUGAUAUAUGCGCAUAUUUUGUAAAUAUAAUUUGGAAGUGAAGUAUAGAUGGAUAUUUAGGAGAGUGAAGGAAGAAAAAACCCAUAUUAAUGGCAGUGCAUGGUGGAGCAAUGGAGCAAGAUAGUAUCUCAGUUGACUUCAACAUGCAUUGCUUUCAAUGAGGGAAAAGAGGGAAACUUAAUUUCUUUUUCUGCUACAAAUUUAUUGGAGAAAGAUGGUUAAUAAAAGGGACAAUAAGAGGGACUAGGACCAGAUUGAUAAAAUCUAGUUGUUGCAACAUUCAUAAUAAUUUCUUUUUGGGGAGACACCAUGGUUGAUUGAAAUGUGGGAAAUUAUUUGUAAUAGUGUUGAAGUUUUUAAUUUUCACAAGUAUGUUAAUGAGGUUUUGGUUAGAUGGCAUGGUCGAGGUUUUGAUAAUUUAAAAAUCUCAAAUUUGAAUCUCUCAUUGUAUAAAUUAUGUUUGAAAUUUUAGUUUAAAUUUGUUUUCCACAUUUGAAUAUGUUUCGAUUAUCAAUUUAUUUAUGCAAUGUAAUUAUUGAAAUAUUGAUCGAAAUUCGAUUUUAGCUCGAUUGAGUAUAUAAUUAUAAAAGCUUCUAACUUGUUUUAAAGUAAAAUUAAAUUAUUUGUAAGGACAACUCCCUCAUAGACAAUCAUGGGGCUUUAGAUGGGCCUAAUACACAUCAACUUAUUGAACCCACAUCACUCAAUAACUUGGCCUAUGCAUAUGAUUCAAAAUAAUAGUAUUGUUGUUGGGUCCCAAACCAAAUAAAGCUAAAAUUAUGUUGCCUAAAUUAAAUAACUCGUACAAAAUCAUAGAUCAUUAUAGAAAAAAUGUGGAGUAUGCCUCGCAUUUCGGUCAAAUUAAAACACAAACAGAGAGCAACGCCGUGAUAAGGAUCCUUGGAUGUCGCGACAAUGAAAUAGGGGAGAAGCAGAAAUGACGUUGCGACGACACAAUAGGGGACGUUGCAAUGUGGCAACGUGUCAUGCAAUUUUCUUGAUUUUCUUCUUCCAGUCAAAUUCUGAUUAUUUGUUCUAGUCGAACUCUGAUUAGUAUAGAUUAUUUUAAGAUUAUUUGAUUUACGAAUUUAGCCUAUAAAUAGGCCCUAUUUUCUACCCUAGAAAGAUUAACCCAUAACACAUUUAAGUAUUAACUUUUACAAGCUUUCUGAGAAUUUUGUAUUUAAGUUUUGAGGGUUUUUAUUUUCAGGUUUCGGGGUUUAGUUUUUAUCUCCAUAUUUAUACUCUUCUUUUUUUGUCGAUUUAGUGAAUUAUCUUUGCCCGUAGUUUUUACCCUCUUUGGAGUUGUUUUUCCACAAAAUUUGUGUGUUCGAUCUUUUCAAUUUCUUCGUUAGUUUUCUUGUUCAUUGCUUACACAGGUUUAUCCCCAACAGAAGAGGUCAUUGUCAUCAUUUAAAGUAGAAUCACAACUUAACAUAACUUAAACUUGAUAAACAACUCAAAAAUAGAAAUUUGAUUUCAUAAAUUUGAUAUUCCAAGCUUGACACUAAAUAAUCAAUGCCUACAAAAAUACUUAAAAACAAAAAAAAAGAUAAUCAAUCUCUCUUCAUCUCACAAGACACAAAAUUUUCAAAACAAAAUUAAAGAACUGCUACAAGAUCUGGUCAAAACAUCAAGUAAUGAUCUGAUCAAAAUUCCAUCAAAGAAUAUUAUUUACAAUUUCAUUAUGUUACAGCCAAAAUGUCUCUAAACAUUAAAAAUUGGAGAGAAUGGUAACCAAACUCAAAACAAGAUCCAAAGAAGAAAGUUGAAGAAUAAAAGAGAUGUUGUCACUAACCCUCUUAAAUCGCUUUAAGCCAAUCAAUUAUUACAUUUAGCUUUAACUACCCAAGUUAUUCAACACAUUUAUUUUGAUAGUAAUAAUACUCAUAAGGACUUUAAAAUAAAGUUUUAAUCAUUUAAUUUCAAUUACUUUAUUUUCAUCAUGUGAUAGACAUUAUAGCCAUGCCAUUGCCAACAACAUCCCCAUAGUACCAUGGUCACAUCUCCCCAUUGCCCACCCAUACAUUCAUGGUUCCAUUUUAACUACCCUUUCCUUGACAUCUAUACAACUAUAUAUUAAAGGCACUAAAGCUUUUCAAUUCUAAUUUCUUUUACUUUUUAGAUUAUAAGAAUGGGUAAUUUUCAAUAUGAUCCCUAUAUUUUAUUUAAAUUUGAGAUUUAAUCUAUAUACUUUAAUUUUGACAUAAUUUAAUAUCUCAAUUUUUAUAAUGCCAUUAGUUAGUCUAAAUAUUUUAUUCUAAUUAAAAUGAUUAAUAUAUGAAUUUUUAAGAAUUGUUAGCGCCAUUAAUUUUUUUAUUGAAUUUAUGAUCAUUACAAUGUUAUUUUUUAGUUACAUGGAUACCAAGUUUAUUUUAUUUUUUUCAAAAUACCUUACCAACACAAAAGAAUUUUAACAGUGUUAACAAAUGGACCUAAAUUUUUAAAUUUGAAAAGCAGAGAAACUAAAUUCCUAAAAAUAAGAAAACACAAAUUAAAUUCCAAAUAUACGAAGAGUAAAAAAAGUUUGAACAAAUUGUAACCUUUAAAUUUUUACACUAUAAUUUAAUUAAAAAAUAAAUAAUUUAAUUGGACCCUUUGGACAAUCGUUUGAGCAUACUUUCAAAAUUGCUCAAGAUUAAAUGUUGACAUUUUGACUUGGAUCUCCAUAAUUGUUUUCUUCAUAAGUAAAUAAAUGGUAGUCGAAUUUGGAUGAUUGAAGGAACUAUAAGAUCAACAUGCCUUAUCCAUUAAGGCUUACCCUCAUCCUUAUUCUUUAAACCUUAUCUUGUGAAUUAUGCUGAUGAAUUUACUUAUAUAAGAUUGUAUUUUGAGAUAAAUUUUGGAGGUUUUUAUCCCGAUUUAUUAUGCAUUAAAUUGGUGAUUUUAUCUCCACAAAAUCUGCUAAGAGGAGACUUUUGUACUAGCUUAUAAAUAGACUGUUGAUUGACUUCCUCAUUGAGUUAUUUGGGUGUAUUUAGACCUUGUUCUUUUGUACUAGCUAGCAUAUAAAUAGAGUGUUGAUCAAAUUCCCUGUUUAAUAUUGCAUGUAAUAUGAGGUAUUUGGGGAGAGUAAUUUGUAACAAUAUAAAUUCAACUUUGCAGCUACAAUUAUUAUUACGAGAUGUUAGAUUGGACUUUUGCUAAUAGUUAUAUCAAAUUAACUGUUGAAUAAAAUCAUUCUUUGAAUGAGGCUUGCAAAUAGGAUUUGUGAAUCCAUAUUGAUUCUUUAUUUACUUAUCUCUUUGUCUUACAUUUUGAAUUUGUGUUUAUUUCUUUCUUUACUUUGCUUCUUGUUUGAUGUGUUUAAAAGGUUCUCUCCGAACUUCUAUUCAAUCAUCUAUUUGAAUAUCGAAUUAAAUGUGUAAUGAUAAAAAAAAAAAAGUAAAGGAAAUUUUUUAAAAAAAAUCAUGAGCGAAGGAAGUAGGCAGCCAUCAACAUAAAAUCCCAUACAAAAAGAAACAGUAAAACUCCCUCCAAUACAAAUGAAAAAUAUAAAAGCUCCCCUCAAAAAAAAUCUCCCAAAGAAUACAAAUAUAUAUAAAUAAAUGUAAGCUCAAAUAUGCAUAGUAAAAAGCCCCAUCAAAGAGACUUAAGCCAGUAACAAUAUAUAAUGGAAAUUAAAACACUGAAAACAAAAACCAUAGCUAAAGACACAAAUGGUGAAGAAAAGACUUCAUGGUUUAAAGCAUUAAAGUGAGGAUACCCCAUCCAAUCACCAAGCUCCACACCAUCUUUCUUAUGGACCAUGUUUUCUCUACUCCACUCUGCAAUAAUCAAAUAACAUCUUGUAUUCAUAUUUUUUUCCCACUAUUAUAAUAAUUGGAUACGCAAAAGAAUAAUAGCUUCAUCCAUUGACAACUAAACAUGCUUUUGGAUAAAAAUAUAUUUAGAUUUGAAAAAAUGAAUUUAAACUAUAAUAUUAAAAGAUAUAUUUUAAAAAUAAAUUGGGUUUUAGUUAAAUACUUGAAGUAUAGACAUACUUAGAUAGAAUUAAUUAAUUAUAAAUAUAGAUAAAUUUCAACAAAAUUUAUAGAUGCCAUUAAUAUGAUUUGUGUGUGUUGAUCCAACCUGAGGUCUAAUUAAAGCUUUCCAUGUCAGAGUUUACGUUAGAAUUUAGAACACCCUCUAUAUUUUUGCUAUAUUAGACAUACUAAAUUUUAAACCCCAUAAGAGAAUAUGCAUAUACAUAUACAUACCGUAUCGGUUCCAGCAGGGCCUGGUGAAGAAGCGCCGAGGCUGGGAGUAGGGGCCUCAGUUGAUGGAGACGGUGGGCUGGAGGCCGAAGGUGAUAGCGCUGGAGACUUAGCUUUGGUCUUGCUAGGGGCCGGAGCUGGAACCGUGGCAGGAGGAGAAGCCAAAGGAGCUGGUGGUGGGGUAGCUGGAGGAGGAGUAGCAGGAGGGGGAGAAGCAGGUGGUGGGGUAGCCUGAGGUGGAGAAGCCGGUGGGGGAGUUGCGGGAGGUGGGGUAGCUGGGGGAGGAGUAGCCGGUGGAGGAGAAGCUGGUGGUGGGGAGCUAACGGGCGGGGGAGUCGCUGGAGGAGGAGUGGAAACUGGUGGUGGAGAAGCUGUCACUGGAGGUGGUGAUGAUGUAGGAGGAGGAGUGGAAGCUGGUGGCGGAGAAGUAGUUGUGGGUGUUGGAGGUGGUUGGGUAGUAGGCGGAGGUGUGGAAGCGGGUGGGGUCGGCGGCACCGGCGUGGAUGUCGGAGGAUUACUAGGAGUAGGAGGAGCUUGGCCUAAAGCGCCAGCUACAGCAAUGCAAAACAAAGCUGAUAAGAACAAAAACUUGUUAUUAAGCAUCAUGUUGGAAACAAUGGUGACCCUUUAAUCCUGCACACCCUCUCCGCUUAAACUACGCCCAGCCGCGCAAGCAAAAGAGGGAGAAGAAUAGCAA
RNAcentral lists this long non-coding RNA (75465 nucleotides) under Gossypium barbadense (sea-island cotton). RNAcentral's name for it is "long non-coding RNA (GBAR_LNC022176)". The stretch from base 21174 to 21260 matches the Rfam family "MIR7486 microRNA precursor family". The record is from RNAcentral. Lineage: Eukaryota; Viridiplantae; Streptophyta; Magnoliopsida; Malvales; Malvaceae.